This 51941-nucleotide long non-coding RNA is filed under the name Malus domestica (apple). RNAcentral describes it as "long non-coding RNA (MDOM_LNC017074)". The stretch from base 49111 to 49195 matches the Rfam family "tRNA". Lineage: Eukaryota; Viridiplantae; Streptophyta; Magnoliopsida; Rosales; Rosaceae. The record is from RNAcentral.
ACACGAUCAACGAAGAGUUCUCAUAUUCAUGUCACAUGAGAACUCAUGGUUGGGAUAGUGCAAAGUAGUCAUUUGACCUGAGGCAUCAUAGUUUUCUUGUGGUUAAGUCCUUGAUCUUUGAUUAAGUCAAAAGUCACUCCAAAAGGAGGGUGUCCACGGCAUAGUUAGGGUUAAGCCACUUAGCUAUGGAGGCAAGUGAAUGCGCAACAAGGGAUCUCUAACCUUUAAACUGUUUGAGGGAGAAUACUCUAUGAUAUGAUUAAGAAUCUCUAGCCAGAGUAUGAAUGAGAUUUAGGAAAGUCGUUCCAAAUCACAUUCAAGGUAAUCAUAUAAGCACACUGUUUGUACCAUACUUGACCAAUCCCGAAACUACUAAGCACCGGUCAACGUUAUACCGUCAAGGACCCAGAAGAGCUUCCCCUUCAACCAGGAGGCCAAUCAUAAUGCGACACAUGUUGACAUCAAAAGCCAAUCACAGCGCGACACGUGUCAACAUCAGAAGCUAAUCACAACACGACACGUGUCAAUGUUAGAACAAAACUAGAAACUCUCUUCUAUAAAUAGGGAUCAUUCUCCCACAAUAAUCUCUAAUGUCAUUUUGUACUAAACUAUUCACUAGAACUCACAAAAUGAGAGCUUGAACCUAUGUAUUUGUGUAAACCCUCACAAUUAUGAGAACUUCUCUACUCCGUGGACGUAGCCGAUCUGGGUGAACCACGUACAUCUUGUGUUGCUUCCCUAUCCCUAUUCAUUUACGUACUUAUCUUCACUAGUGAUCGAAGCAACCAAGCAAAGGUCACAAACCUGACACUUUCUGUUGUACCAAAGUCCUCGCUGAUUUUGUGCAUCAACAUUUGGCGCCGUCUGUGGGAAUCAACACUUAUUCCCACUCUCUUCAGCUUUGUCAAGCUGGUUUCACCGCUCGUACACUCUCUUUUAGCCAAGCAUCUCUCUCCGACAUGGGGCGAAAGAACCAUAGCAACAGAAUGUACCCCCCUUGGACCGUAUGAAGCAACGAAAGCAUGAGGGAAAUAGAGUUACUCUUCAAGCUAAAGUCGAUGAGCUAGAGGUUCAGAACAACAAGAUAGCGAUGAAGAAUGAGGUCCUCCAGGAACAAUAUGAAAAACUUUUCGAGACGCUUCACGAGGCUAGGCAUGCUCAAACACACAAGCUCGUCGCCCUGUUGAGGUCAACAAUCAUCUGAAUGCCCCCCAACACGGAGGUCACCGAUAUCCAACACGGACAUUCCCUUGAUAGGGAUCGAGCUACACAUCAAUGUGAUAAUCAACAUGAGACUUCUCUCAACCCAGCUGCUUCAACCCGAAGCAGAAGAAGUAGAGGAAAUCACCUCUUCACAGAGGGAGUGGAAGGAUCAAAAGCCGUCUAUCGCGAUUGUCGAGACUUCCUAAAGCAACGUCGAGAGAAUCUCAUCCACAUAAGCUCGAAGAUCAAUGACCUAGAGGUUUCUGAAAGACUCGGUCCUCUUCCACGACCAGGCCAGCGGCAAUCUAGGAUGGCAAUAAGUCCAAAAGAACAUGAAGGUACAGGGGACUCGAAAAUAUUCCGACAUACUCACUCUAGGAGUUAAUGUGGCAAGUCCAAGGAAAAAUCACGCUAUCUUGAUCAAACUUUCCUACUUACAAGAGGCGAUGGGGACUUACGAAAGAAAACUUCAGUGAUGCACGACUCCACUCAGGACCCCCUCAUCCUACAGCUCCUGGAGGAAGUAAACAAGUUGAAGGCUGAACGUCAAGCCGAGAUACCUGACUGGAACCAACCCAGGCCUGGCCCCCUCACAAGAAGGAUCCUCAACACCCCCCUCCAAGCGAAGACAAAGCAGAAGCUUGACUUACAACUCUGUACUGGAAGGGAAGACCCGAUUGAACACCUUAACCUCUUUGAGUCCACCAUUGUAUACCGGAGACACACCGAUGAAGAACGGUGCUUUCUCUUCCCCUCCACCCUCUCUGGCAGAGCUUUAAACUGGUAUUGCCGUCUUCCACCCGAGACGGUCGACUCAUUUGAAGAGUUGAGGAAGUUAUUUGUCUCUCAACACAUCUUCCAGACCGAUCGCUUGCAUUCCGCAGAUGACUUGUACACUAUUCGCCAGAAGCCGGACGAGUCAUUACGAAAGUAUGCUGGCCGCUUCAGCCAUGAGUAUUCCCGCUGCGCUGAGGCAGAUGACAAGACCGCCCUCAAGGCCUUCACGGCAGGCUUACGUGAUUGUUUCUUCAAGUACAUGAUCAAUACCAACACUUGGAAGACUUACUCUGAGGUGAUGGCACAAGCUUACAACCAUGCCUCUGCCGAGCAAGGACAUAUCAAGGGAAACCCCCUACAGUCACCCCUUAUCAGCAAGUAGGAGUGGAGGCCAGAUCCAAACCGAAUGAAAAGACCUCAACCUUCCAAACGGUAGCAGCACACCCCCUACCUCAUUUAAUGCUUCGCCAAGUCAGCAGACAUAUCAAUCCCAGGGCAAAAGGAAAGAUUUUCCAUCCUCACCAUCUCAUUUUAAUAAAAAGAAUAAGGGGAACUAUCGCGAUAACUCAGUAUAUCGUCACAAUAACACCCAUCCCCAGGCAGUCAACGCAGUGGGCCAAUCGCGUGUCAAGAUAGGCCCACCCGAGGUAUGAGACAUACACACCUUUGAACGCUACAUGCGCGGCCAUCUACCCAGUAUAGCUUACUGAUACCAAGCCAAAGCCAAGAAAGCAGAUUACAAGUCCACGAAGAACACGGCGUGUUUUACUGCUACCACGAGUAUAAUGGCCAUGACGGUGAGAAAGUGCAUCAUCCUCCGUGAUCAUAUCGAAGCUUUGGCACGUGAAGGAAAAAUUGAUCAGUUCCUCCUUCACCCUCCAAGGGAUAACCGUAACCCAAUGCCAGGUGAAUGUGAUAUACUCCAUAAGCGGCGGCACACCCAUGUCUGAAUCUUCCAAUAGGGCCAUGAAAAACAGUGAACGAACUUUGAGACAUGGCAUCAAGUGUUUCACGUGGAAGACAUCAGGGGAGGCAAGUAUCAAAAACCUAACUGGGAUCCAAUAUGUUUCUACCUUGAGGAGAAAGAGGUAUCAUCUACCCUCACAACGACCCGCUGAUCGUGGAGCUCACAUAGAAAUUUUGAUGUGAAACGAAUCCUGAUAGACACAGGUGCUUCAGUCAAUAUCAUGUUUGUUGAAGCUUUCAAGGCACUUAAUGUAGCUGAACACUUGCUCGAUCGCUCGAUUUCUCCUCUAAUAAGCUUCUUUGGCGAUAUCGUGCAACCUUUAGGGAGUAUACACUUACCCCUCACCAUUGGUACAGGCCCCUACACAGCUACUAUUACCACUAACUUCCUAGUGGUCAAUUGCCCGACGGCAUACAAUGUCAUCUUGGGCGCACAGGCAUCAAUGAUCUCAAGGCCAUGGUAUCCACACAUAUGUUGUUGAUGAAGUUUCAACCCCUUCGGCAAUGGAUACAUAGGGGAGAUCAACUUAGUGCUCGAUCAUGUUACAACACUUCAGUUAAGCACCAACACCUGCAUGUCCUCAAGGAGACCCUCUCUAUACAUAACCAGGUAGUAAAGACCAGUCCAGAUGAAGCCAACUCGGAUCUUCAUGAUGGCAACAGUCAACCCGACGACCCUCGAGAUGACUCAUUCACCCAGCAAGCACAACCACGAAGAGUUUGAGAAUGUCUCUAUCUCCAAAGACCAUCCAGAUCGCAUGGUGAAGAUUGGCACCACUUUGUCACCACCCCUUCGGUUGUCGCUGAUCUCCUUUUUGCAAGAGAACGCCGAGGUCUUCGCUUGGUCAUAUAAAGAUAUGCCGGGAUCUCUCCCGAUAUCAUCUGUCACACACUUGAGUAUUGAUCCAAGACCAACCAGUAAAACAGAAGCGAAGAUCUUAUAAUGUUGAACGAUACGAGGCGAUGAAAGCAGAAGUUGAAAAACUCAAGGACAUAGGCUUCGUCCGUGAAGUCAAUUACCCAACAUGGGUAGCAAAUGUUGUCUUUGUUAAGAAAAAUCCGACCAAGGAAAGUCACCUGCUUCAAAAGGUUUUGUGGACAAUGUGUGUCGACUACACCGACCUAAACAAAGGAUGCCCGAAGGAUAGUUUCCCCCUUCCUCUCAUUGAUAGACUUAUAGACUCUACGGCAGGGUGUGAGCUCUUGAGCUUCAUGGACGCUUAUUCAGGAUACAACCAAAUCCUCAUGAACCCCUCAGACCAAGAACACACAGCCUUCACUACUGACAGGGGACUAUAUUGCUACAAAGUCAUGCCUUUCGGCCUAAAGAAUGCAGGAGCAACUUAUCAGAGACUGGUCAAUUCAAUGUUCGCCGAACAAAUUGGGAAGAGCAUGGAAGUUUAUGUUGAUGAUAUGCUAGUCAAGAGCAAACAUGCUGACCAACACAUCACCAACCCUAUUGAGACUUCACCAUUCUAAAGAGGUAUCGAAUGAUGUUGAACCCCAACAAUGUGCCUUCGGCGUGGGAUCUGGCAAAUUCUUAGGCUUCAUGAUUAGCCAACGAAGGCAUUGAAGCUAACCCCGAAAAGAUCAAAGCAAUCCUCGACAUGAAAGAGCCAGUAACUUCAAAAGACAUCCAAAACCUUACUGGUAAAGGUGGCAGCCUUAACCAGAUUCAUCUCUAAGGCCACAGACAGAUGUGCUCCUUUCUUCAAAGCACUCAAGGGAAAUAAGAAGUACAUUACAUGGACGGAGGAAUGUGCCAAGGCAUUCAGGAACCUCAAAGAGUACAUGAGUAAANNNNNNNNNNNNNNNNNNNNNNNNNNNNNNNNNNNNNNNNNNNNNNNNNNNNNNNNNNNNNNNNNNNNNNNNNNNNNNNNNNNNNNNNNNNNNNNNNNNNNNNNNNNNNNNNNNNNNNNNNNNNNNNNNNNNNNNNNNNNNNNNNNNNNNNNNNNNNNNNNNNNNNNNNNNNNNNNNNNNNNNNNNNNNNNNNNNNNNNNNNNNNNNNNNNNNNNNNNNNNNNNNNNNNNNNNNNNNNNNNNNNNNNNNNNNNNNNNNNNNNNNNNNNNNNNNNNNNNNNNNNNNNNNNNNNNNNNNNNNNNNNNNNNNNNNNNNNNNNNNNNNNNNNNNNNNNNNNNNNNNNNNNNNNNNNNNNNNNNNNNNNNNNNNNNNNNNNNNNNNNNNNNNNNNNNNNNNNNNNNNNNNNNNNNNNNNNNNNNNNNNNNNNNNNNNNNNNNNNNNNNNNNNNNNNNNNNNNNNNNNNNNNNNNNNNNNNNNNNNNNNNNNNNNNNNNNNNNNNNNNNNNNNNNNNNNNNNNNNNNNNNNNNNNNNNNNNNNNNNNNNNNNNNNNNNNNNNNNNNNNNNNNNNNNNNNNNNNNNNNNNNNNNNNNNNNNNNNNNNNNNNNNNNNNNNNNNNNNNNNNNNNNNNNNNNNNNNNNNNNNNNNNNNNNNNNNNNNNNNNNNNNNNNNNNNNNNNNNNNNNNNNNNNNNNNNNNNNNNNNNNNNNNNNNNNNNNNNNNNNNNNNNNNNNNNNNNNNNNNNNNNNNNNNNNNGAUAGAAUACGCUCUUCGUUUCAAAUUCAAGGCAUCGAACAACGAGGCCGAAUACGAAGCCCUUCUAGCAGGCUUACGUUUGGCCAAGCAUCUUGGAGUUAAACAAAUUGAUAUCUUCAGUGACUCCCAAUUAGUGGGCAACCAAUUCACGAACAACUUUGAUGCUAAGGAUAGCUCCAUGGCAGCAUAUUUUGCGCAAACACAACUUUUGCUCAAGCACUUCCACUACCAGAUCACCCAAGUUCCUCGAGCGGCAAACAGUCAUGCAGACGCUUUGGCCCGCCUCGCCUCGGCAGUGGAAGACAAGAUUGGGAGAAAAAUUCAUGUCGAAUUGUUGGCAGCACCAAGCACCAUGGUCGCGGAAGUGUGCAAUUUACAACAAGGAGAUAGUUGGAUCACCCCAAUUUAUAAAUUCCUUGCCCAUGGCACCCUCCCAAAUGACAAAGUCCAAGCUAAACAGAUUCGAUACAAGUCUGCUCGCUACCUGAUCAUUAAUGACCAACUCUACAAGCGCGGUUUUACCCUGCCCUACCUAAGAUGCCUUACACCUGCGGAGGUGGAAAUUGUCCUUCGGGAAAUACAUGAAGGAGUCUGCGGAGAUCAUGCUGGGUCUCGAUCCUUAGCACGCAAGACUUUUCGCCAAGGAUACUACUGGCCAACACUCCACCAAGAUGCCAUCAGAAUAUCUCGCUCAUGUGAUAAGUGUCAACGCUACGUAACUAUCCCUCACUCCCCUCCCGGGCCGCUCACUCCUAUGAUCAACCCUUGGCCCUUCGCCCAAUGGGGACUUGAUUUGAUCGGCCCAAUGCCUGUAGGGAAGGGCAAGGUCCACUAUGAAAUCGUUGCAGUUAACUACUUCACAAAGUGGCCUGAAGUAGAACCCUUGGCAACCAUUACUGAGGCAAAAAUAGAAGACUUCGUAUGGAAGAACAUCCUCUGCAGAUUCGGCAUUCCCAAUGCAAUAGUCACGGACAAUGGGCGGCAGUUCGACAACAAGAACUUCAGGAUGUUCUGCUCUAAGUUCAACAUCAACUUAUGUUUUGCCUCUCCAGCCCAUCCCCAGUCUAAUGGACAAGUCGAGGCCGUUAACAAAAUAAUCAAGUGCACUCUGAAAACUAGCUUGGACAAAGCUAAAGGUUGUUGGCCAGAAUUCGUACGCCAAGUUCUUUGGUCAUACCGCACUUCAUAUCGGACUUCCACAAGAGAAACUCCAUUCUCACUUACUUUUGGUACAGAAGCAGUUGUCCCGGUUGAGCUUGAGCCAGCAACAUACCGAAUCCAGAACUACUUGCAGAGUGAAAACGACAAACAACUCACCCUCAACCUGGAUCUAGUCGAGGAACACAGAAAUCAGGCUCACAUGAGGAAUGUCGCCUACAAGCAGCGCAUCUCCAACUACAACGACUCAAGGGUCAAACCCCGCUCUUUCAAAGUGGGAGAAUGGGUACUGAAGAAAAGAUUACUCUGUGAUAGAGUCCCGAGUGAAGGAACACUCAAUCCUAACUGGGAUGGACCGUUCGAAGUCGUCGGCAUCAGCCGCCCUGGCUCCUACAAGCUCAAAAGCUCCGACGGCAAGACGCUUGGCCAUCCAUGGAAUGCUGACCACUUGAAGUACUAUUACAAAUAGACUCACAUUAUACAAGUGUUAAGCUACAGCCGUUCGGCAUCCUAUGUAACAAAAACCAUUUGGUAUGAAUUCAAUAAAGAGGUGAUUUAGCCAACUCGGCCCUAAACUCUUUUACAUUCUGAGCAAUGAAACACUCAAGUGUUGAAGCUUCAACGCAAAUGUUUCCAAUACAAAACAAAAUCUAAGUAUGUGUCAACAAGACUAUACAAAGGAUCUACAUCAUACAUUCCAACACAUUCAUACAUAAACAUCAUACAUUCCAACACAUUCAUACAUAAACAUCAUACAUUCCAACACAUUCAUACAUAAACAUCAUACAUUCCAACACAUCCAUACAUAAGCCAACUGUGCUUCGAAAUGGUUCAACACACUUUGUGUCAUUCGACAUUUGCCACAAUGUGCCUCGACACCUUGCCCUUAUUCUCACCAACUAGGUGAUGAAGGAACUCACCUUCGUACCACCAACUAGGUGAUGAAAUGUACAACCCGUACUCUAAUAUUAUUUGGAAACUUGCCACCCUUAUCACCAAUCAGGUGAAGAAGGAACUCAUCUUCAUGCCACCAACCAGGUGAUGAAAUGUACAACGCGUACUCUCCUUCAUGUCACCAACCAGGUGAUUAAAUGUGAUGAAAGGUGAUUAAGGAAUUCACAUUCGUACCACCAACCAAGUGAUGAAAGCAACCCACCAUUCAUUCCACUAACCAGAAGACGAGUGGUACAACUUGUACAUGUGAACUCCUAGCAUUCACAAAUAAUCAAAAACCAUCAAGCUUUACAACUCAACUAGGGGAGCACUUAUGCCUAACAAGAGCUAUAGUCACCAACAAAGUCUUAUUGCAAGCCAACAAUGGCUUCAGUGCAUGGUAUACGAAGAUCAAGCUCUUCAGCCCUCUUGCAUCUGCUUCAGACAUUUCUCCUCUGUAACAAUGCAAACACUACAACUCAUAGAAAACUUCACACACUCUUGAUCAAGACUGUUCGAAGCAAAUUCAAUUUAUAUGGUUCAUCCAAACCUUCGACUACUACAAGAUGUGGCUUGCAUCAUAAUCUCUCGCUUGACAGUAUGGAAGCAAAAUUUGUAUACGUUGUCUCUCCCACAUUUUCAAAUUUCUAGUUUUCAAAAAAAAAAAAAAAAAAGAGGAAAUUGGAAAUUGGGAAAUUCAACAAAACUUCAUCAAUAGAACACACCUACAAUCCUCAAAAGCUUCGCACUAUCUUCAUCAAGAUAGUGUGAAGCAAAAUCAAUUUAUGGUGCCAACAAAAGCUUCAUCAAUGGAGGACAAAUAUCAAUCUCAAAAGCUUUGCACUAUCUUCAUCAAAAUAGUGUGAAGCAAAAUCAAUUUAUGGUGCCAACAAAUGCUCUCUUCAUCAAGAUAGUGUGAAGCAAAAUCAAUUUAUGGUGCUAACAAAAGCUUCAUCAAUGGAGGACAAAUAUCAAUCUCAAAAGCUUCGCACUAUCUUCAUCAAGAUAGUGUGAAGCAAGAUCAAUUUAUGGUGCCAACAAAAUCUUCAUCAAUGGAGGUCAAUCUCAAAAGCUUCGCACUAUCUUCAUCAAGAUAGUGCGAAGCAAAAUUAAUUUAUGGUGCCAACAAAAGCUUCACCUAUAAAGCUUCACCUAUAAAGCUUUAACACCAAAAGUUUCACCUAUAAAGCUUCAACCCUUCAACACCAAAGCUUCACCUAUAAAGCUUCAACCCUUCAACACCAAAGCUUCACCUUUAAUUUUUAUUUUUCGGAAAUUCGAAAAUUCAAAAAUCCGGAAAUUUGAAAAUUCAAAAAAAAAAAAUCAAAAAAAAAAUUAAAAAUUAAAAAUAAUAAAAUUUGCCUAGGCCUCCUCUUCUUUGGGCCUAACAACUUUCAUAACAAAUAUAUAUGAAGAAGGAGUUUUGGGCUACCACUUCGAAAGGAAAUGCCUCAUUCGUCAACUCCCUCGACCAGAGACUUGGGGGACUCCUAUCAUAUGCUACUGCACCUUGAUACUCGGAAGUCUCAGGACCACUCAGUGACUUGGAUUUUUCAAGUCUCCAAACGAGAAGUUUUCCUCACUCGGGAAAUUAAGGGAGCACUACCUCAACCUACAUGCUUCACUCACAAAGUUUCAACAUACAAGUUUCAACAAAAGGAAAAAUUCAAAGAACUUAGUGAAGAAGGCCUUGGUGUAUUUAACACAAUACAUUGAAAUGAAGCAAAUCUUGUUUAUUGAUAUUUCCGAUAAGUUACAAAUAUGUACAUAUACAUGAAUCAAAAUAAACAAACAAAAGGGAGCCUUCACAAAGGUUGCUCAGGGGAAGUCUCAGCAAUCGGUAGAGCCCCAGAAAGAGAAAGCACCGGAGGGUGGUUAUCCGGAGCCUCAGUACUGGACAGAACCCCAGAAGGUGGAGGCAUCGGAGGUUGAUCAUUUGGAGCUUCAUUACGCGGUACAGCCCCAGAAGACGACGUCAAUAAAUGCCUUUGGAACAAACCCACAAACCGCUGAUGAUCAAGUAAAACUUGACCAUCAGAUUCCUUCAUCUAGUCAAGCUUCCUCUUCAUGUUUGUAGCAUAGUCAUGUGCGAGCCGGUGCAACUGUUUAUUCUUAUGCUUGAGCCCUAUAAUCUCCUGUUUGAGACUCAUCACUUCAGCAGCCAAUGAUUCAACUUGGCGGGUUCUAGCAAAUAGGCGUUGGGCCAUAUUAGACACAGAACCUGCACACUGAACACUAAAAGCCAAAGAAUCCUUAACAGCCAACUCAUCAGAUCGUUUGGAAAGUAGUCUGUUAUCUUUGGGAGUGAAAAGGUUCCUGGCCACCACCGCAGCGGUCAUAUCAUUCUUCAUCACAGAAUCCCCAACGGUAAGAGGACCAGUAGGGGAUAUGAAAGAUGGGCGCCAUAUGUUGUCUGGAGAAGGCGUGGCUGUCUCUUCUCCAAGGUUCAAGUCAAAACGACGGUCAGAGAGGCCAGACAUUUUCAAAGGUGUUGAAGAGGGAAGAGGUCAGACAAAUCAAGAUCUUAGAAGUGUAAGAAGGGAGCUUCUACUGGUGGAGAUUCAAGUGUGCUGUGGAACUUAAUGCCAACCUCUAUAAAAAUCUGCACUUGAUGGAGCUUCAGGAAUCGAAGAGGCGUUUGCUUUCUCGAAAGAUGAGCUGCUCAGAGACCACGAGGGCCGAUCUCAAAAAUCGAAGAAGCACCUGCUUUUUCAGCCUCGUCAGCACCUGUCACAUGCACACUCAGCUUUGCGGAAAUUACGGGCAAUCUGUCGAAGAUUUCUGGUGAAGUAUAAAGCACGUGAAUCUUACUGUUCAAUCACCACUCUCUACACGCACCAUCAACUCCUCGGGUACCACAUAUAACUUUGCCAAAGAUCUCUGACAAAGUUUAGGCACGAGAAUUUCGAAGUUCCAGCUACCCUACUAUUACCCACAAGGGUAAAAGAACAGCACCACUGCUUGACAAUUGGAAAGUCCCUAUGUGUGUCGACCUCCGUGUUCUGUGGCAAGACAGGCUGGCAAGAACGUCCAACCUUUACUCACAUUCGAGAAAAGACUCCCAACAUAAUUACUUUCUCAAAAAUCGAAACGGCACCGCUUUCUGAAUCUCGAGAGCCAGAUCCCCGACGGGAUUGCUUGUUCGAAAACCGAAGAGGCACAGCUCUCAGAACUUUGAGAGCCAGAUUUCCUUAGAUAAAGCUUGUCUGUAAUCUUCACACGCAACAUCAGCUUUCCAGAUACCACAUACCACUUUUUCAAAGUGCUCUAACAAAGUUAAAACACGUGAAGCUGGCAGCUCCCACUACAUUACUGUGACCAAGAAGGGUAAAGGAAUAGCAUUACUACUUGUUAUUGGGAAAUCCCUAUAUACAUCGACCUCCCUCCUCAACGGACAGGCAAACCUGCAAAAAUGCUCAACCCUUUCUCGCAUUCGAGAAUGCACCCUCAACAUAACCUCUCGAAAUACUCAGCUUUAUUUCCCCCCGAUAAUACCUCAGCAAAUAAGCCACACCAAGAACAAGAGUAUCUCAUAUCAUCAGGGUCGAAAGCAAGAGUAUCCCAUAUCAUGCUUUCUCCAUGUCCUUGUCUUCGUCCUUGUCCACACCUGCAGGACAAAGAGAAAGAGAGCAGUCAGUCGGAACCUGAAAUCAAACCUCCAAUCUGGAACUUACUGCCUGAGACCUUUGCCUGGUUGCUUACCUAGCAUUGCUCUCGAGAACUCAUCCUCAACUGCUGUCAAGGUCAUGAAUUCCACCAGCACAUACCUCAUGACAGUUGAUCAGAUAUUGGCUCUUUACACUGAAGCUGCCAAGCGUGGAUAAGUCACUAUGAAGGAAUGUUCUGAAUGACCAUUUAAAUGCAAAGGUUGCACACCACUUCUGCCAUGCAAAAGAUUGAAGCAGAAGGUUCAACGGUGAGCUGAAACAGAUCACUACAGCACGACACCUUUCCAUACCACAUUCACUAUUCCGUCAACAGCAAAAGUAUCCCAUAUCAUCAAGGUCAAACGUACUCUAGAUUUGAUGGACUUGUUUUGACCCUCAAAUUCUUGAGUCGGCCUUAUACUCUGAAGGGAACCAGAAAACCCUCCAGCACAGUUCAAAAAUAAGCCUGUGGAAAGUUACUUCUUCAAAAGCAAAAGUAUCUCAUAUCAUCUCUUCUCCAUUUGCUUCUCCUUAUCCUGGCAGCUAAAUGAGAGACAAGGAGAAUGAGAACAAUCAACCGGAAGCCGAAGUCGAACCUCCAAUCCUGGGUUGCUGCCUUGGAAGUUUGACUGCUUACCUUGUCUGUCACCUCUUUCGGCAGAUCUCCUAGCUCGGCGACUUGGGGGACUCCUACUAUAGGGUUUGUAUCGCACUUGACCAAGCCCGAAACUACAAGUAAGCUUCAAGUGAAAUUGAUACAUUACCUUAUGCAUCUUCAUCGGUUAAAGAUACCACCCAUGGAUGGAGGAAAAGUACUUCCAGAGAAGAUGCCACAUCUACAUAUGAGACAUAUAAGGCACGUGAAAAUGAUACCACGCUUCAGUACUUAGAAGUUUCGUGAUUACUCAAUGGCUUGGAUCUUGCAAGUCCCCAACCGAGGAGCUUCUCUCACUCAAGAACUUAGGGGAGCACUGCUUGUACCAUACUUGACCAAUCCCGAAACUACUAAGCACCGGUCAACGUUAUACCGUCAAGGACCCAGAAGAGCUUCCCCUUCAACCAGGAGGCCAAUCACAAUGCAACACGUGUCGACAUCAGAAGCCAAUCACAGCGCGACACGUGUCAACAUCAGAAGCCAAUCACAGCAUGACACGUGUCAAUGUUAGAACAAAACUAGAAACUCUCUUCUAUAAAUAGGGAUCAUUCUCCCACAAUAAUCUCUAAUGUCAUUUUGUACUAAACUAUUCACUAGAACUCACAAAAUGAGAGCUUGAACCUAUGUAUUUGUGUAAACCCUUCACAAUUAAUGAGAACUCCUCUACUCCGUGGACGUAGCCGAUCUGGGUAAACCACGUACAUCUUGUGUUUGCUUCCCUAUCCCUAUUCAUUUACGUACUUAUCUUCACUAGUGAUCGAAGCAACCAAGCGAAGGUCACAAACCUGACACUUUCUGUUGUACCAAAGUCCUCGCUGAUUUUGUACAUCAACACACACGAAUUACAUUGGAUAGUAGACAUGAAUAAACUAUCAAACCAAACAAUGUGGUCAAGAGUAUUGUAUUAGAAAAAGACCGUAUUGCAUUUGUAAUCCUAAACUGAAUAGGUUCUCUACCUUUUCUGAUUAGCUUGGGUAACCAUGAUAUGCUGCUAGGUGUCACUCUUGGUUUGUGGAAGCCCUAAACGUGUAUAAACACUAAAGGGAGAAUUGAAAGUAAGUUUCAAUUCAUAAUCAAUUUGAAAGAGUUUUAAUCGCCCACUGCCUCGCUAAAAGGAACCUAAUGGAUCGUACACCGUGUAAGGUGGAGAUUGAAGAAACAAUGGAGAUGAGUAAGAAUAAUUAAAUGGUUUAAUUAUUUAUUUAUGGCAAGGAUUAAUUAAUAUGUUAAUUAAUCAAACGAAUAAGUUCGUUAAAGACCUCGGGAUAGUUUUGGACCUUAAGGCCCAAUGGGCUUCGAACGUCAAGCCCAUUGACUUAAGUUGUAUGACAAUUUAAUGAAUAAAGAUUCAUAAAGGCCCAAAAGCCCAAAUCCCUUAUAUGGCCGGCCAUGUGUGUUGAAUUAGGGUUUUUGGUUCUUUAGGUCAUUUAAAGAAGUGACUAUAUAAAGAACUUUAUAGCCUAAAAUUCAUUAAGGGUUUCUUUUAGGAAAUUGGAGAGAACACAAAGUUCUUCUUUCUCUCUAAAGAGGUCGGCCCCCUUGGAGGGAUUAGCUAGCAAUCCCACUCCUCCAAGGUCACUCAUUUCUUCUCCAAUCUAACCUUGGUGUAGACACUUAGAGGUUCUCAAUUUUGGGAACUUGGAGAACCAUAUUCUUCCAUCCAAAUCCAUGGAUCUAAGAAGCAAGGAAUGAAGGCCCUCUCCUUGGGUGAUUAGCUUUUGCUUAUGCAAAGAGGAAUCUACAAAGGUAUAAAUUUCUCAACUCACUUUGAUUUGAGUUGAGUCUUGGUUCACCAAUCUACUAGGCUUUGAAUUUCAUGGUUAAUGUUUUGUUUUGAAUGCAUGCAAGCAUGAUUCCGCCUUUUAAUUGUUAAAUGCAUGCUAUAGAUGUUAUUCAAAUGAACAUGUUUUCACAAAAUCAUCCUUCAGCUUGGCCCCAUAGUCAUAAUAGUCGACGGUACGUUCACCCCUGGUUGUCUUGAUACGAACUUUUAUCCCUCUUGUUGUAAUGGGAUUACCCAAUUCCUCAUAGUUAUAAUGUGUUGAGAGACAAACAGUUUCCUCAAUUCCUCAAAUGAGUCUACUGUCUUAGGUGGAAGACGGCAAUACCAGUUUAGAGCUCCGCCAGAGAGGGUGGAGGGGAAGAGAAGACAUCGCUCUUUGUCGAUGUGCAUUCAAUAUGCCAUGGUGGACUCAAAGAGGUUAAGGUGUUCAAUUGGGUUCUCUUUUCCAGUAUAGAGUUGUAAACCAAGCUUUUGUUUUGUCUUCGCUUGAAGGGAGUGUCGAGGAUCAUUCUUGUGAGAGGGCCAGGCCUGGGUUGGUUCCAGUCAGGUAUCUCGGCCUAACGUUCGGCCUUUAACUUGUUUACUUCCUCAAGAAGCUGUAGGACAAGGGGGUCCUGAGUGGAGUCAUGUACCACUAGAAUUUUCUUUCGUAAGUCUCCAUCACCUCUUGGAAGUAGGAAAGUUUGAGCAAGGGCGUGUGGUUUUUUCUUGGACUCGCCGUACUGACUUCUAGGGCGAGUCUGUCGGAAUACCUCAGAGUCCCCCGUACCUUCAUGUUCCUCUGGGACCUGUCGUUCCUUCCCUAGAUUGGCAGCUGGCCUGGGUCGUGGGAGGGGACCGAGUCUUUCAGAAACCCUUGGGUCAUUGAUCUUCGAGCAUAUGUGGAGGGGAUUCUCUCAAUGCUUCUUUGGGAAGUCUCGGCAGUCAUGAUAAACGACUUUCGAUCCUUCCAACCCUUCUGCAAUGAGGUGUCUUUCUCCACUUCUUCUACUUUGGGUCAAAGCAUCUGGGUUGAGAGAAGUCUUAUGUUGAUCAAUGUUUUGAUGAUUAGCUCGCUCCUCAUUAAGGAUACCCAUGUCGAAGGGAGGUGACCCUCCGUGUUGGGGGCACCCAGAUGAUGGUUGAUGUUCACAAGGGCAACGACCUCGCGUGUUUAAGUACACCUAAUUUCGUGGAGCGUCUCAAAGAGCUUCUCAUACUACUUCUGGAAGACCUCAUUCUUCAUUGCUAUCUUGUUUUUCUUAGCUUCUAGCUCAUCGACUUAUCGUCUUUAACUAGAAGAGCAACCUUAUAUCCUUCCUUCUUUCAUUGCUUCGCACUUGCAAAAGGGGUGUCAUUUUGUGUGUUGUGGCUUCCUUCGCUCCCCAUGUUGGAGAGGGAUGCCUGGUCAAAAGAAAGUGUACGAAUGGUGGAAACCAGCUUGGCAAAGCUAAAGAGAGUGGGAAUAAGUGUCGUUCCCACAGACGCCGCCAAAUGUUGAUGCACAAAAUCAGUGAAGACUUUGGUACAACAAAAAGUGUUAAGUUUGUGACCUUCGUUAGAUUGCUCCGGUUACUAAUGUGGAUAAGUAUGUAAAUGGAUAGAGACAGGGAAGCAAACACAAGAUGUACGUGGUUCACCCAGAUUGGCUACGUCCACGGAGUAGAGGAGUUCUCAUUAAUUGUGAAGGGUUUACACAAGUACAUAGGUUCAAGCUCUCCUUUAGUGAGUACAAGUGAAUGAUUUAGUACAAAUGACAUUAGGAAAUAUUAUGAGAGAAUGAUCUCUAUUUAUAGAAGAGAGUUUCUAGUUUGAUUCUGACAUUGACACGUGUCAUGUUAUGAUUGGUUUCUGAUGUUGACACGUGUCGCGCUAUGAUUGGCUUCUGAUGUCGACACGUGUCGCGCUGUGAUUGGCAUCCUGGUUGGAAGGAAACUCUUCUAGGUCCUUGACGGUAUAACGUUGACCGGUGCUCAGUAGUUCAGGAUUGAUCAAGUAUGGUACAAACACCCUAAAUUAGGCUAAGAGAAGAAACGUCCUUUAAAAUUCGGCAAUAAGGGAGUAUCCCCCUUAAAUUCGGCUAGGGAAUCCAAAUUGAUCCUAAAACUAGAAAGAAAGCUAAAGCAUCUUCAUAAAACAAGUAAGAAUUGAAGAUUGCUCACAAAAUAGGCAACAAGAUCCUUAAAUUCAGCCAAGGGAGUAAAGUGGCUGAAAUUAAGACACAAAACAUGCCUAAAAUCAUCCCAAAGGCAAGCCUUGAGAAGCCCAUAAAUACAAGGUCCUCCCAUAAGCAUAAGGGUCGAAAAAUGUCUACACAGAAGAACCUUUGCCAAACCUUGGAAGACUAAUAUGUUGCCAAAGCUCUCUUCGAAGAACAUUCAACCAAAGCCGAAGCUUCCUCUGGACCAAAGCUGAAGCACUUCCUUGAAGAAUCAACAAGUGCUCGUGCUGAUUCCUUCAAGACUUUGUUGCAAGCUUAUAAACUUGUAGCAACGUUCGUUUCAAGAUCAAGUUGCCAAGAUCCUUAAAGCAACAAAAUCUCGCAUCAAACACUACCUUUGCCACUCCUUUGAGGUGAAGAUCAUCCACGCGUUGUUUUCAAGCUCAAAACUUGAAGUAAUCGUUUAAUCGUUUUUCCGAGAUUAAGUCAUCGCGACCCUUGGAUCCACAAUCACGCAUCUACAUCAAAUUUGAAGACUAAAUCAGAUGAAAAGUUGUAAAUAGAGAUUGUAACCUACAAAUUUAAAUCAAUACAAAUCUACUUUGCACACGUGUUCUCGUCUCAUUCGAUAAAGCUCACACAUAAAGAAAUAUAUAAAACGAUAAAUAAUAUGUAAAAGAGAAAGAAGUUAGACAAAAAUGAGAGAGAGGGGGAGAGAAGGAAACGUAGGUGUGAAAAAAUUUUAUUCUUAUAAAAUUAGAGGCGUGUUUGGUGACUAUAGUGAGGGAAAAAAACAAGAAAUUUAGUAAAAUGUCAUAACAAACUUUACUAAUGAACCAUAUAUCAAUGAUCAAUUUUUAUUUUGGAUCUUGUUGAUGCACAACGGAUGGAAUUUGGAACAACGUAAAGUGUCAAAUUUGUGACCUUCGCAAGGUUGCUUCGGUUACUUAGUGAGCAUAGUAUGUAAAGAGAGAGAUAAGGAAGCAUAUAUAAUAUGUACGAGGUUCAUCCUAAGUUGGGCUACGUUCACAUGGUAUAGGAGUUCUCAUUAAUAGUGAAGAGUUUACACAAUACAUAGGUUCAAGCAUAAUAUCAUCAUUGACAAGUUCUAAUGACGAAUUUAUGUACAAUAAUGGCAUUAGGAAUUCAUUGUAGGAGAAUGGUCUCUUCUUAUAGUUAAGGAGAGUCUCUGGGUCCAUCCACGGUCGAUAUGACACUCUAGGAGUUUGAUUCUAGUGUUGCCACAUAUCAUGUUGUGAUUGGCCUCUUGGUUCGAAAGAAACUCUUGUGCUUCGGUAAGGGUGUCUCAGCAAGAAUCCUUCAGUAGAUCCCAAUUCUCGAAAGAAACUCUUUGGGAUGGAUAACAAAAGCCGGAUUGGAUUUCGACAUGUUUUAAUUGAAGCUUAGAUCAGACACUAUAUUGCAAUUUAUGUUCUAAAGUUCUCUAGAUUUAGGCUUUGUAAAUGAAAUUAUGAAAAAGUUUGCUUCUGGAUGGUUUUUUUUUUUUUUUUUUUUUUUUUUUUUUUGCCUUAAGCAUGAAAAUGGUAAUUGGACAAGGGUGGGGUUGGCUAUACUCCCAGGACAUGGGAAACAUAUAAAACGUCCUAAUUCUAUGAAUAAAUAUAUUACAGAAGAUUAAAUGUGUGUCCAAGCCAUCACUAAGAGGAGAGUUGGUCUAAUUAAGUAGAGGAGCUUGCCAAGAGAGAGCUGGUGAAAUGAGAGAGCACAAGGUUCUACGUCUGCAAUUCAAAACCAGGAAACGAACAUUGUGUUGUACUGCUUGAAUCCAAAUGUAAAAUCAGGAGUUGUGUGAGUGUGAAGCAUAGAAGGCGAUUAAGUGAUAAAAAAAAUCAGGAAACAGAUAGUGUAAAGCAGCAUCAUAAUAGAAAUGUAAAAAACAGAACCAAAAAACAAAUAUUGCAUUGUCUGAAUCCAAAUGUAAAAAUAAUGUAAAGUAUCUAAAUCCAAAUGUAAAAAUCAAGUGUCGCACGAAGUGUGAAGUGUAGGAAGUGUGUGACUGAUGACAAAAACAAAAUUAGAAAACAGACACUGCAACGCAACAUCUAAAUCCAAAUGUAAAACAAAAACAAAACCAAGAAACAAUAUUGACCUAUUUCGAAAUGUAACAAAAUAUGAGAAAUGGUGUGUCUGGGUGACAACUGUAGUGGUUCAAGUUGUAAUUUUUGUUUAUUUAUAAUACAUUUAUAAAUAUUGUAACUUUUAUUGAUUUUAUACAUAAUUUAUUUUUAUAACUAAGAUAUGGCUCACACCCUAACUCAUGAAUAGUCUUUAUUCGCGGGUCGAGGCGUGACAUGUAAUCUAUUAAAGUCGUCUCAAAUUAUCAAAGAGACGACCCAAUGACCCACUAUCGUCCUUAACUUGUUAAUUAUCAUCUGCACAGUUUGACAAAUGUGAAGUUUUAUCAUAAAAGUCUCAGUAUUAGUUGAAAUGAUGUUAGAAUAUAUAAACUCUUCUUUUCUCCCUCAUUAUGCUGAUUUGUAAUAUUUCAACAAGUCAAAUAUGAUAUUUUUCACUUACAAGUAAAAAAAUGAGAAUAAUUUCGCUCACGAUACUCAAUUGAUGGUAAUUGUUUGCCAUCUUUUUAACACCGUUAUAUAAGUUUAAACUUCAAAAUCUAAAUACUAAUAGAUACAAAUUUUAACCAUUAAUAUAUAGAGUGGCGUUAACAUACCUGCCCGUGAGCAAAAAUGACAAAAAAAUGUUAUCCAAACAGGUUGAGAGUGGAAAGCAGGAAAUAAAAGAUACUCGCUUGAUUGGAGGACCACGUAGGCAGUAAGGAAUUUUUUAAAUUUCUUUUUUUUUUUAAAUUGAAAUUUAAAAUAUUUUAAAAUUCAAAAGCGAGUGACGGCACCCAAAGAAAAAGCAAAUGGCAAUGAAGGCGUUGGAGUAAAUGCAAAUUAAAUUAUUAAUUAAUUGUAACUUGUAAGAAUGCAAAAUAGCAAAUUAGGGCUUGGCUUUUAGUUGCUUUUUUAAUAAUAGCCCGUAGAGGCAAAGGCACGAAAUAAAAAGAAAAUGAAAAAUAUCAGAAUUAAAAUAUAACCAAAUAUUCAGAUUUCUCGCAUUUCUUAGAAAAAGGGCUUCGGAGCCGCUCUGCGUUUUCGUUCCGGAACCCUAGAAUUUCCGCGUCGCCGUAAUUUUUCUGAAUUAUUGGUAAGUCGAACGUAAUUUAUGGGCUUAUUUUUGGAUUUUCCUUAAUUUUCAGUGAUUUUAUUUUAUGAUUCUUUUACUGUAAAUUGGCAAAAUAUAAGUCUUUUAUUUUCUAAAAGACUGGUGGAAUGAAAAUGCUGAAUCUUGUCUGGUUUAAGCUUUAGUAUUUGAAUAUUUUGCUUGAUCUGCGCUGAAAUGGGAAAAAAAGCAAACGUAAUUUGUUUUUUUCGGGUGGUUUAAAACGAGGUCUGGAAGUUGGGGUUUGUGUAAAUUAAUCCCAGAUGCUGUCAGGGUUAGGGUUAGAUACUUUUGCAGAAUAAGCUUACUGGGAAUCUACCACCAUCUUCUUCUGGUUUUCGUUUUCGUUUUUGUUUUUACUGGUUGUUGAAGAAUUCAGAUGCUAAAAGUAAAAUUUUACAUAUUUAUACCUCUACUUUUUAGAAUGUAGAUUAGGGUCUGUAAAUUGUGGCUAUGAGAAAAUGGUAAAUUUCCGUGUCCUGAUCUGCUUUUUAUUUUUUAUUUUUCAUUUUUAUUGUGUUUCAGGGAUUUUAGUUUGAUGGAAUUUUAGUCCAAGUGAAAAUUGCGAAUUUAUAAAAUAAAAUAAAAAAAAAAACUAAAAGGGAAAAAGAAAAAAGAAAAAUGUCAGGAUCUGAGACGGGAGUGAUGACGAGUAGGGAGCCGUUUCUGCAGAAGAAUCCUAUUCAGUCACAGUCCGCCAUCCAGAGUAUGCGGUUGAACUUCAGUGCUGACGGCGGCUCCGCUCUUUACAAGUCUGUUGCCACCGCCACCUCACCUGCUUACCAGUCCUCAGUCACCUCCGCCGCUGCUUCCGGAGGAGGUGCUGUUGUCCCGGGGGCUGCCGGAGAGGGUGCAGUUAUGGCCCCUGCUGCUACUGCUGGGCUUAACAUGAACAUGGGUACUGAGCCAAUGAAGAAGAAGAGAGGGAGGCCCAGGAAGUACGGGCCGGAUGGCACAAUGGCAUUGGCUCUAUCACCAUCAGUCCCGCCUGUGACCGUUAGCUCGUCCAGUGUUGGAGCAUUUUCUCCUGCUCCUGCUCCUCCUUCUGGGGGAGGUUCUGCCUCACCACCACCCACUUCGACUUCCACCAAGAAAUCAAGAGGCAGACCACCUGGUUCUUCCAAGAAGCAACAAUUGGAUGCUUUGGGUAACCUUUCUUUCCUUUUCCAUUCUAAAUUCUUAAACUUUUUGAAAUUCUUAAAAUUUUGAAUCUAACUGGGUUUUAUUUAUCCUUUGAAUCUUAUAUUGUAUUUUGUUUUUGUUCUGGGUCAUUGAUUUUGUUAUUAUUUUUGGGUUUAGCAAAUAUUUGUGUGAUGUGGGUUUGAGAGGUCGGGUCUUGAGGUAACACAACAGUGUCUAUUAGUUUAAUUUUAUUAUGUAUCAUCUGUGCUGGAAAUCUGGAAGUGGUUCCCGUUUGGUUUUGGUUUCUGACAGGAAAUGAAUGGAUUUAAUAAAAGGGAUAUAUUCGGGGAUGACUUUAUGAAAUAGAAAAGGGUACAGCAAAGGAUGUUAUGCUUGAGAUUCUUUCUUAUGUGUCAAAUUUACUUAUCUGCCCUUGAUCACUAUAUUGCAAUUGUAUGUAUACUGUAGGUGUAGGCAUAGAAUGAUACUUAACCUUGAUUUUCAUGAUUUUUCAUGCGUAUAUGAUUGCUUUUGGUAUUUGGUUAAAACGAUGGUACUUCUUGCAAAGGGAAUUACUUGUUUUAAACUCCUUUUGACAGUCUAUUUUACAGCACAACUGUAUCAAUAUGCAUUUAGAAAACAUAUCCAAUACUGGAAAUAAAUUGCUUUUGGAAGUUUCCUUUUGAACAAGUCCCCCAUCCCGUUUAAAUUUUCUUAUAUAAUGUUUAAUUUAGUAUUCCAACUCCAUCAAGUGCUAAAACUAGAAUUUUCAACUAAACAAAUUUGUUUAAUGGUUCAUUUUAUAACUUAUAGAUGCAUGCUUUCAGUGGCAAUGGAUCUUAUUUUAUUCUUUAUCUUUCUAAAAGUCAAUUUUAAUGUUGCUUUUUCGCUGCAAAUAACUAUAUAAUGAUAACUGUACUAUGGUUUAAUUAGUUUUACUGUUUGUAGGAGCUCCGGGAUUUGGAUUUACACCACAUGUUAUCACUGUAAAAGCUGGAGAGGUUUCUAAUUUCCCUUUUCUUUCUUUAAUAACUUAGUUUUCAUACUCUUCCGUGGUUGAUCAUCACUGCAUGCGUAGUCUGACCAGUUGUUGAGCAAGAAAUGUUAUUUGAGUGCACUAUAGAUAUCUAUCUAUUCUCUCUAUGUUGAGGAGCUCAUCUCUUCCAUAUCGUGCACUUCUUUAAUUUGGCUGAUUAUGCAAGUUCUUUGAUACGGUAAAUGCAUGUGUGAUACAUCACUCACUGAAUCUUGUUAAGCUCCUUUUUUCUCUGUCUACUUGGAGUUCUGAGUGCUUCAUCUAUUGAAAUUAACAAUAUUUAGAUCCAAUGGUUGGCAAUGCUGGGUAUAUUUAAUUCAAAUAUUUAUUUUAUGAGUUCAAAUUCAAAUAAUUCUGGUUUCUUAUAUUUUCAUAUCAUUGGAACUGAACAUCAAGAUUUACUAUUUAGGGAAUAAUUGGGCCAUUGGAGUAUUAUACUUUCCUUCACAGCUUUCUGGGAAUUUAGAACUUUAAUCACAAAAUUCUCCUGAGGAUAUCAUUUCCCAUGUCACGGUCUGAUCCCAUCCCAAGAGCUCAUCACCAGUGAGCUAGCUGCUAAUAUGAUUGAAUGUCAUUAAUUUUACAUGCGCACCCCCUUUAUUGUUUGGCCGGCGUACUCAUCAUUUUUCUAGUUGAUAGCACUAUAUUGAAAUUUUAUUUUGAUGCAUUUAACCUUUCAGGAUGUAUGGUCAAAAAUAAUGUCAUUCUCUCAGAAUGGUCCUAGAGCUGUUUGCAUAUUGUCUGCAACUGGAGCCAUCUCUAAUGUGACUCUUCGCCAACCGGCCACAUCUGGUGGAACUGUAACAUAUGAGGUUUGUGAGAUUGCUGGCUGUCUUGUCUGUUGGCCGUUCCUGGUAUCCAAGUUGAACUUUGACAUAUAAUGUGUUGAACUUUUCAUACAGUUUUGUUGUUAGUAUGUUGGGCCUCAGUAGCUGUUCUCUGGGAACAUUGACUGGGGAUUAAUAUUCCAAGUCUCUCUAGGAACAGUUAUGUUUUUUUUUAGGAUACAUGACUACGCCUAUACUAAUGAGUUUAUGCCGCCAUGUUCUGACAUGAUUGUUUAUGUUUGGUUUGCGAACUUUUGAACACCAUAGGUUUAAAUUAAUGAAUUAGUUACUAUCUGGGUUCUACUCUAGGAGCAUGUAAUGUAAAAAAGCAUGUUUGCUCUUUAGUUACAUGUAAGAUUUAGUAUCUGUCACAAUUCACCCCAGUACUGAGUUUAUUGUUUUUACACAAGUAAUUAUCAUUAACUUUCUGUUAAUUAUAUGGUAGUCACCAUAGGGAUUGUUUUCAUCUUAUGUAUUAUAUCUACCUAUGAGUUAUUUCUCGCUAUUUCCGUUUUCUCUUAUGAAUUUUCAUAUGCAGGGGAGGUUUGAAAUUCUGUCACUCUCAGGCUCGUUUCUUCUAUCUGAAAUUGGUGGUCAGCGGAGUAGAACUGGGGGCUUAAGUGUGUCAUUAUCUGGCCCAGAUGGCCGAGUUUUAGGUGGUGGCGUGGCAGGUCUUCUAACGGCUGCCUGCCCUGUUCAGGUACGUUUUAUUUUUAAAUUAUUUUAGAUUUUACUUGUGAUGUGAAAAUUAAUAGUUGAAGGAAAUGAAUCUUCCAUGAUGUGUGGGUCUACAAAUUAUGAAUCUAGACAUAGUACGAGCCAUAUGUUUGAAUUGAGCACUUUCAGAUACAGCUCUUCAUAUGAUUGAAUCUUUCUCUUAUUAAAAAAGAAAAAAAAAAUUUGAUGGACCUAAUAUAACCAGUGAUUUUGGGGGUUACCAUUUCAUUGCAGGUGGUAGUCGGAAGUUUUGUUGCAGAUGGUCGGAAAGAAUCAAAGACUGCGAACCAAAUGGAUCCUUUGUCUGUAGCACCAAAAUUUGAUCCGGGCAGUGGUCCAACAGGAGCAAAUAGCCCCCAGUCACGUGGAACACUGAGUGAAUCCUCAGGCGGGCCUGGAAGUCCGCUUAACCAAAGCACAGGAGCCUGCAAUAACAAUAACCUGCAAGGCAUGUCAAGCAUGCCAUGGAAGUGAAUGGUUUGGCAACCUGAGGGAAGGCCUUUUCACUAAUUUGUGCAGUAGGCAUGAUCAGCGGAUGUUGUGUUUCUUUAGUCGAGGCUCGAGAGCAGGAGAAGGUUGUAGUUUAUGCAUCGUGAAAUGUAUGACUAGUACUAGUAGAAUAAGGAAUGCAGAAUGCUUUGCAGCUUGACCUUAUAGAGGAGCAUGGCCGGCUGGAAGUGUCAACCAGGUAACAAGAAGUGUGUGAAGUAGAAAUUAGAUUUUUAAGUCUUGUGAUGGUAGGGACUUAAUUAGUAGGAUUAAUUAUUAAUUAGGAUGAGUUAGUGAUCUAGUUUCUCACACGUUUGGCUGCUUGUAAUCGUUGUUGACCCUUUAGAUUAUGCUGCUCAACUUCGACUUGUUCUCUAAUGAUAAGAUGCGUUGAUUUUAUUUUUUUUUUCCCCUCAUAAUUGUCUAGCUUUAAUUUUAGAGUAAAUUACAUAAUACCUCGUUAGGUUUGAGGUCUAUUAUAACUCCAUACAGCAUCUUUAAAGGGUUGUGAUAUCCAUACAUCCCAUUUUACUUCUCACAUAUUUUUUUAAUUUUUGGCCUUCGGAUCGGAUGAAUUGAAGAAGAUCAACGGACAGAAAUUAUCAAGGGGGUGUGUGAGAAGUAAAAUAGGGUGUGUGAAUAGCACACCCCAUCUUUAAAACAUUUCACUUCUAUACCUUACCUACUAUUUUAUUUUAAUAUAAUACAUCCGUUACAUUUUUCAUCCAUUUGUUAAGAGCUGACGUUGCUGCUAGGGGUGGGUUGGAAAAACCGAAAACCGAAAAAAACCGACAACUGAACCGAACCGAGACCGAAAAAAUAACCGAACCGAAUCUGUUGAACCGAACCGAACCGAAAUAUGAAAAUAAAAUAUAAAUACUCAAAACCUGCUGGAGUGGAGAUUUGAACCCCUUUCGUUCAGGUUGGGGAUAGCUUCCUUCAAACCAACUUGACUGUAGGCUUUGUAUUGCUAUAAUUGUACCAGUGUAAUAUUUAUAGGAAUUCUAAUCUUAAUGUUUUAUAAAAUUUAUAAAGUUCACAAACCCUAGCCGUCAUUCAUUUUCAUUCUCAAAUCUCUCUUCUCUCUUUCUCUCAUCCGCUGCGCUUCCUCAGUCUCUCUCUCCCUCCUUCUCUUCCUCCCUUCAACUCUCCUUCCUCUCUUCCUCUCUUCCUCUCUCCAACCUGCCAAGUCCAUGGUUGUAACAUGGAUCUUACUUUUUUAAAGGAUUACCACAGGAGGAGUAGGGUUUGUGAUGAAUUUAUUUGACAAUCCUCAUUUUUUCCCUUUCCAAAUCUUACGCCUCUUGUCUCUCUACUCCUCGUCUGAUAGACUCUCUAUGGACUCUCACCUAUAACAACAACUUCUUCACUCCUUUCUAAUAUUCCUUUCUUUCUCCAUAAACUUUCGAUCUCUGCUUUUCAAAUACAAGCCAAAUAGUUUUUUACUCUAGAUUCAUAUGGAGGUCGCACCAGACAUCCAUCUUUGUUCCUCCGGAUUUCUUUAAUAGUAAGUAUUCAAUUUUUUCUUUUUUUUUUCUUUUUCUUGUUUAAUUCUUUGAGUGCUGAAAAAUGAAAAUGGUAGUUUUUUUUUUUUUAUGUUUUGAUUAAUAGUUUUUAUUUCUUUGGUUUGUUGACUAUGCUAUUUGAAUUUAUUUGUUGACUAUGCUUUGUGAAUUUUUGAAGAAAAAUUGCUGAUGUUAUUCUUGGAUUUGUCUUUGUGGAGCCCUAUGUAGUAAAGAUCUUUGGUUUUUGGAUCUUUAUUUUUAUUAAACCUUUGGAUCUCGUUUGUUUGGCUGUGUUCAGACAGGUGCUCGUGGCCGGAUGUUACAAUCGGCGAGGCGUCGGUUGGUUGGUGGCGAGGGUUUGUGCUAGUAGGGAUGCUCGGCGGCGGGUGCUGCAGUAGAAGCCUAGGUUUUCUUUUGUUGUAUUUUAUGACUUGGGCCUUUACUGUUUGUUGGAACUAUUGGGCUAGUAUGGCAGGGUCCUCUUUUGGGCUAGUUUACUAAUAUCCAGAUCUAAAAUAAUAAUAAUAAUAAUAAUGAAAAAAACCGAACCGGACCGAAACCAAACCGAAAAAAAUCGGAACCGAAAAAAACCGAACCGAAAAAAACCGAAAAAAACCGAAAAAAAUUGAACCGAACCGAACUGAACCGAAAUUUCGGUUCGGUUUCGGUUUUGACAAAAAACCGAACCGUUUCGAACCAAACCCAGCCCUAGUUGCUGCCACAUUUGUACCACGUGGUUGCCAUGUUUGUACCACGUGGCAAAGAAAAUAAAUUUUUUUUUAAACUUGAAUCUUCUUGAAAAAAAAAAAAAAAAAAACAAAAACCAAAAAUCCCCUUCUUCCCCACCUGAGCCCAUCCCCAUCACCCACCCCUACUUGAGCCCACCCCCUUCUCCCUCACCCAUCACCCAUCACCCAUCAUCCACCCCUUCACCUUGCUAAGAUGCCAGAUGUAAUGGGCGUGAAGCCGUUGAAACCCGUUGAGAGUGAGGACCACAGAUCACAGCUGUUGGUGGUGGUUGGGAUUUUGGGGCAACCAUCUCAAUCUCCUCAUUCUUUUUCCAUCACAACCACCCAUUCAAACUUCAAACAAAUUUAAAAAUGACCCCUGGCUAAUUUGGGGAUUUGGUGGUGGUUGGAAACCAAUUUACAGGAAGUAGGUUGGGGUCUUGCCGUAGCCUCAAAUUUCAUCAACACCAUUACUGGUUCGUCAUUUGUGGGUUGUGGGGGUGAAGGUAACCAGAUGGAUGCAAUGGGUGGGGGAUGAAGGUGGUUGCAAUGGGAAGAUGAGAUUGUUGGCUAGGAUCGGGUGGGGGUAGUUGCUCAAAGAUUGUUGGCUAUGGUCAAAGUCCAAAUCUUGGAGUUGGAGCUACUCACUCUCUUCACCGCCCUCCUCGUCCUCAGGUAGGUUGAUGUGGAAAAGAUGAUGGUUUUGAAUUUUGGGAAAUAAAAUUUCGAAAUCCAUGAAAUUUUGGGGGUUUUUUUUCCGGAUUGAGAGCUCAUUUUGAUUUAUGGGUUCUGGAAGAAGUGCAAAAAUUUAUGGGGGUUUGGAGGGAGAAGAGGAGGGAGAAGAGGAGGGAGAAGGAAUGGGAGGUGAAGUGGGAGGAGAUGGAGAAAAGUGGGUCAAGGGUGUUUCUGGGUAUGUAUGGGUUUUUUUUUUUUUAGAAGAUUCGGGUUUUAAAAAUAAAAAAAUUUAUUUUUUUGCCACAUGGCAUACAGGUAGCAGCCACGUGGUACAAAUGUGGCAACCACGUCAGCUCCGUAUUUGGGUAUUAUGUAAUUGACCUCAAACCCCCUUAAUUUUAUUUACACGUGGUGCAAAGUUACAAGAAAUGAUCAUUCGGUUUGAAAUAUGAAUUAUAGUGAGAUUGAGCUUAGAAAAGUUGCCCACCACAUCUUGAGCUCCACAUGCAUCAACAGUUAUUGCAACUACGAGCGGAGUCGUCCGUGCCUGUCCUGUCGAUCAUAACUUAGGUCAAGAAUCAGUGCAACUGAGGCUCCUGAGUAACCACGAGAAACAAAUGUUUCCGUCUUGGGAAACUUGGAAACGAAUAGUAUUGCUUCAACUUUCUUCGGAAGGAGCUACUGCCUUGCGAGCUCCUGCCAAGCGCGGAUGUCUGCCAAAACCAUCCUCUUGAGUUAGCAAGGUCCGCCCUUUUGGCCAGGUGCCACGCGUACACACCCUCUCCGAGAUGAACCAUAUAGCCAAGAGAAACCGUGUUGCUAGAUGUUUAGAUCAAUAACCGAGUAUGAAGCGAUAAAAAUAUGUCGUUAUGUGAUUACCUCCGUUGUCCAGAGAAAACAUACUAUAUUGUUGCAGACUGGAAAUGAUUAACUGAUGAUGUAUAUGAUGCUUGAGAAUAACGAAUAGACAAAAUAUUGGCAAUUGGUAGAGAGGGAGGGAAGGAAGGAAGGAGCGCAGGUCAUUUUAUACCCCGGGAAUGAAUGGGACAUGGAAUCAUCAUACGCCUUGUUUUGCUUUGCUUUUUCAAAAUUAACCCCAUCCCUCCCUCCAUCGCAGAACAAGGUCAGGCUUCUAGGGAAUCAUUGCCUAUGACCCUCCCACUUGCCCUUCUUUUUCCCCCUCCUUUUCUUCAUCAUCUUUCUUUAUUUAUUUAUGGGUCCAAGUUUGGGGCUCUACAUUUGUAGCGUUGGGGUGGAGGAUUUUAGGGUUUUUUUUUCCUAUUCUAUUAUUUAAGUUUUUAAUAAUACUAAAAAUCAAGGAAAAAUUAGGUUUCCAUCCUUCUUUUUGUUACUCUAUUGAUUAAAAUAUUAUUCAUUUUUAAUUUUUGAUCAAGGUCAUUGGGUAUUAAUAACAUCAUUAAUUAUUUGAAAAAUAAAAUAUUUUUAUUUUUAAAUAUAUUCCUUUAGUGUUAAAAAUGUUACAAUUAGUAUAUUUAUAUUUAUGGCUAAAUUUUUUAUUAUAUAUUUUUAUUUUUAGCUUGUACCUAUUUUUAAUUUGCAAAUAUUUUUUAAUUUGUACCAAUUUUCUUUUCAUUUUUAAUUUGUACCCAUAUAUUAGUUUCUUUUUGUGCCCAUAUUUUUUAAAGUUUUAUUUGUGUUUGUACCCAUGUAUAUACCGUCACAUGACAUUGUAUAUUUAAUCAAUGAUAGAAAAAUUACAUAUGGUAUAUUUAUGUUUUAUGCCUAAACUUUGUAUCAUAUAUUUAUAUUUUAGUUUGUACCCACUUUUUGUCACAGCCCGUCCCGAAUAAAAGUUAUCGAUAACGUGAAUUGACGAAAUUACCUUUGAACGGUUGGUGGUGGUGUGUGUAAAUGGGCUAAGGUUUGGACUCAAUCAAAUUUUAAGUUUUAGUUGUUUGGUUGGUGACCCAAUUUGGACCACACACACAAAAGUACCUUUCUCUCUCUUCUCUCCCGUGCUCUCUCCUUCGGACUCACUCUUUCUCCCUUUCUCCCCUUACGGAUUAACAACAAACUAGUCGAAAGUUUGCAGAUCGAGAGUUUAAAGGACACCAUUGUGUUCUUGAGGUUCAUACGAGUUAAAUGGUACCAUUUUUAGGUAAGAACUUAUUCGAAAACUCGUGAAAACCCUAACCCAAUCUAUGUCACUAUUCAUGCAAUCAUAAAAUCGUGUGUUUUUGGGGAUUUCAAGCUUACAGGUAGCUUAAGGAGGUCCUCAUGAGGCUCGGAAUGGUUCGUUGGAAGAAUUUGGACUUCGGAUUAUCAAGAACGGCGGGUUUUAUGAUUUUCCAGAAUAUCGAGGCUUUUUCUGGCAGGUUUAUGGGGUUUCAAGGCUCGACUCAGGUAUGGUUUUGUUCGUCUUGGUGAGAUCUUCAAAUUGGUUCAAGUUUCAUGGAAUUUGGUUAAGAAAUGAAGAAGAUAUAAGGUUUUGAAAUAAAUUCCAGAAACCGGCGAAGUCACCGGCGUCUGGCGACUCGUCAGAGAAGAUGAGGGCAUAUUUCAUCAAUUUUGACGGAAUAUGCUAACGGCGUUAGAUGACGCCGUUAAUAAUUUACAGUAUAUGCUUGCUUUUGGACGAAAUAAUCCUGACGGUGUUAACUGCCGCCGUCAGUGUGCCUGGCACGUGCCCAAGCGUGGGCGGCGCAUCUGGCCGUGCCUUGGCCGACGCGUGGCUGCGCGUGGGUGGUCAGAAAUUUUUCUAAAAAUAUGGGGAUGUUCGUGAGGUUGUAUAGAUCACGUUGGUAUAUUCAAACAUCCCAUUUGAGUAAUGUAUGAGAAGUUAUUAGCUAGUAUUGGUUAUGUGCUUUAAAUGAAUGUUUUUAUAGUUGUUUCGCAUAUAGGGGAGACUUAUCCCGAGGACGAGCGCAGUCAAGGGCGACUCUGGGGAUACGACCCUUUGACAUACUAGUGAGUGGGCUUUUGGUUUUCAGUAUAUAUUAAUAUACUUGAUAUUUUCCCAGAAAAUGCAUUUAAAUGAAUUAUGCUUUGAAAAUGCCAUGCCUAUUGAUUUAUGCUUAAACCAUGAGUUAGAAUUUUAUGCAUAAAUGUGAUUUGGUGCGGUGGGCACUCAGGUAAGUUCCAGGUGAGUUUAUGAAUUGUGAAUGUGUAUUGAAUGGUUGUGAUUAAUUGAGAAAUAUUGAGCUCAUAAACCUGCACCCGAUGUUAGUGAUUAGCCAGAGAUAUGGCAUAGGCCUGUAUAUAAUGUCACCUCCCGCACCAUAUGCUCACAUUGGAUCCAAUUUAGGUGCACAGUCAUGUUGUACAGACCAUCAUACGUGGUUCCGACUCGUAGGUGACUAGAGAUUUAUCGCCCAGCUAUCAUGAGAGCAUAGUAUUGAGCAUAAUUAUAUUACACCUAGUCUUGUUGUACAGACCCUUUUAGUGGUUCCGACUUGUGUGUAGUGUAGUGUCGUGUAGGUCAUUUGUAGUGACUCUGGCUAGAUUGACUAAUGAACUAUGAUUUCAGCCAUACAGACUUCUGCAGGGGUUCUGACUAAUGUGUUAUUUUCCAUGAAUUUAUUUUCACUUGGGUUACUUAUCCUGUUUAUAUCUUGGCAUGGCAUACUUAUGAUUAUGAAUAUGUGUAGCAUGAUUUGAACUGAUAUAUAUAAAUAUAGGUAUAUGUUAUUAUUCCAUUUCUGGGAAAAAGUAUACAUGUUUUACAGCAAAGGGUUAGAGCAUUUGAAAGUUAAAUGUGUUUUCAAAACCUUUGUUUUUGCCCACUCACGUUUUCUGUUUUGCACCAUUCCAGGUUUUAGGUAGACUUGUUGUUGGUGGCAUUUGAGGAUCUCGACGGUUCUGACAAAAAUAUAUUAUUAGUAGGACAUCUUCUGGUACUGUAUAACUAGUACUUGUCCUACUGGACUGCACCUAGACUUUCUAUGCUUUGAUUAGGAGUAUUUACACGUGUAUCUCAUUCCUAGCACUUUCUACUUAUUAGUGCACAUUAGUAGCUUUCGAUUUUUAUUUAUUUGUAUAUUUCUUAUCCUUAUCGCUUCCGCACUGUGCACAUGGCUACGUCACGCUCACGUGAUGGCCAGCAUGCCUCGAUCUCGGUCGGGGUGUGUCACUUUUAAUUUGCAACAUUUUUAAAAAAUUUGUAGUAUUUUCUUUUUAGUUUUAUUUUGUACCCAUGUAUUAAUUUCUUUUAGGGCCUAUAUUUUUUAAAAUUUCAUUUGUACUCAUAAUUAUAGCAUGCACUGCUGCCUCUCAUACACUCUCCAAAAUGCCUAUUAUUACACCUGCGGCAUAAAGGAGCACUUGAGCCACCUGAAACACCAAAGUCCCUCUGCCUCUGAAAUCUUGGGCCUCCAGCAAAUCUACCACCUCUCCUUUGCACAUUAGAGCUCAAACCUCCACUAGAAGAGCUCAAACCACCACUUCUCUUAAAAUUCUCACCUCUGGUUCUCGUUCUUUUCUUCUUCAUCUUCACUCUCACUGAGCAUGUUCUCUGAGUCCCCAAUCCGCAGUAAAACCUCAUAAAACUCCUGGUAAGUGGCACAGGGAGUUGAUGUCGCUAUAGAACGCCAUUUCUUUUUAGAACCCAACCUGAAACGACGGAGCAUCUCGACCGGAUUAGCAGCAAUCUCCGAAUCGUAUCGAGACAAAUCAGUGAACCUCUUGUAAUACUCAUUCGCUGACAUCUUUCCUUGUUUCAGAUGCGUAAACUCUUGUUUCUUGCGAUCAAGUACUCUGGGGGAAUAAACCUUUUCCGAAACAACUGUUUAAACACUUCCCAAUUGGCUACAACCUCUAGUGGCAUCUGAUAAGACUCCUAUCUCCACCAGGAUGUAGGCUCCGGACCCAAAAACCAGGUAGUCGUCUUGACCCACCUAUUAGGAGGAAGAUUCCCCUGACUCUGCAUCACCAGGAAAGUCUUCUCGACAUGAUUAAACCAUUUCUCCGCUCCCUCAUGUCCUUCAUUUUCCAUGAAAUGAUUCAGCUUCAGAUUAUACACAGUCUCAUGAGGUGUCAUUUGAGGAGGACGGAGCGAAGACUGAAUGGCAUUAGCUAUAGCUUCCUCUAACUGAGCAAUAUUUGGGAAACUAGGCUCAUUUAAGUGACGUGGCUCUUUACGAGGCGGCAUAGUUCUGACAGAAGACAUCAUAAUGAUUAGAUCAUUCACAAGAUAUACAGGACGGUUAAAACUAGGCUCUGAUAACAAACUGACAUACCCCGACCGAGAUCGAGGCAUGCUGGCCGUCACGAGGGUGACAUAGCCAUGUGCACAGUGUGGAAACAAUAAAGAUAAGACAUAUACGAAUAAAUAAAAAUCGAAAGCUACUAAUGUGCACUAAUAAACAGGAAGUGCUAGGAGUGAGAUACGAGUGUAAAUACUCUUAAUCAGAGCAUAGAAAGUGUAGGUGCAGUCCAGUAGGACAAGUACUAGCUAUACAGUACCAGAAGAUAUCCUACGAAUAUUUUAUUCUAUCAGAACCGCCAAGAUCCUCAAUGACACCAACCGCAAGUCUACCUAAAACCUGGAGGGGCGCAAAACAGAAAAUGUGAGUGGGCAAAAACAAAGCUUUUCAAAAGCAUUUCAUUUAUCAAACACUCUAACCCCUCGCCGUAAAACAUGUAUAAAUUUUCCCAGAAUUAGAAUAUAAAUAUAUAAAUAUAUACAUAUGUUGGAAAUGUGCCCUAAAGCCAAUCAUAUGAUGAUACUUUACGAACAUUUCACAUGUUAAACUAAUCUAGUUUAAAUAUAAAGGGCAAAGAUUAUUGUUUGAGCCGUCUCAUAUAAAUGUUAUAUGCUUAAACGAUAAGUCCAAGGAAUAUGUGAUUGGGAGAAUGCAAUCUAAAGAAGUUAGAUUCAUGAGACCAUUCUUUCGUAGACACAUCCUAAACGUUCCUGAUCAUAGGAUUGCCAAUUGGGCAUUGACAGUCCGUUAAGAUCAGUACGUGCUGUGUCUUCUCUCAGGGAGAGUGACUAGUCUCGAGUCAUUGGUGUGUGUGACAUCAAGACAAGUACGUAGGUGCUCAAUAGAGAAUGAGUUCAUUGAACACGAUCAACGAAGAGUUCUCAUAUUCAUGUCACAUGAGAACUCAUGGUUGGGAUAAUGCAAAGUAGUCAUUUUGAUGUGAAAAUUAUGUUGACACACAAAUUAACCCUCUUUUUAUCGAUUGUAGUAAGUAUGUAAGUAGGGAUCGUUCUAUGCCGGGGAUUAGGAGGGAUUGCUAAAUCACUUGAAAACUGACUCAAAUACGUAAAAACAAGUUUAAAACACUAAACUAGACUCAAAGAAUGCAAAACUAAACUUUAAAACACCAAAACAAACAAAAAGACUCAAAACAGCAAACAAACACUCAAAACUGCCUUAAAACACUUUCUGGGCAGUUUCUGACACUCAGGAAGAAUUUGGACGAAAAUUGAUUAUAACUUGACUCAAGACACUUAAAAACACAAACUAAAUUGAUUUCUAACUAGUAUGACUCAACAAAGAAAAGGGGGAUUGAUUUUGGACGAAUUUAAAAACAAAACAAAACUUUGUAAACUAAAACAGAUUUUAAAACGAAUUUGGAUGAUUUGAAUGGAUGGAAGGCUAGCUAAGGGGUUUAUCUCCACACAUGUCACACUUGCAUAUAAAACGAUUUCCAAUUGCUUUUCAAUAAACCAUGAAUUCUCAACGCCCCAAGUUUAAUUAGGUCCGCUUAAAUUAACCCUCAGAUUUUCCUUAAGUUAUUGAAUUGGAUGAAUUGCAUACGACAACCCAAAGCAUUCCCCACAAGUCCCCUACAUGAUUGCAUAAUAGAGAUACAAGCAAGAAUAAUUAAGUUCUAUGAAAACCAUAAGCAUUGACGAAGCACUUGUUACUAUGAUUGCAUGAAACUUAUGCCAAGAAUUUACUUAACACGAUUGUGAUCAACAACCUUUACUACUUGUGAAUAUAAGUUCAUAACGAUUAGGUGAAAUUCCCUUAUAUCCUAGCAUCAAAUUCAUGCAUGCAAACUAAGUGUCGACCCUCAAUCAACAUACAAGAAUAAGUUUUAAUUCACAUAGAUAAGCAAAUUGAACUCACAACUUAUGAAACGCAAUUAGAAGUAAUCAAAUCAUAUAGCAAGCAUAAACAUGGUUUCGAAUCCCCCCCUAGCCAAGGGGGUUUAGUUCUUCAUACUCGCAAAUAAACAAAGAUAAAUAAAUUUAAACAUUAAAACAAAGAUAGAAAACACCUAGAAACGCUCCACAAUCCAAGCUCCUUGAAUGGCAUGCACGGCUCCAAGUUGUCUUCCUUCUUCUCCUUGCAAACUCACGGCACACAAUGUAUGUUUGGGUGAAUGGUGUAGUGAAAAUAUGGUAGAGGAUGGUGACUAAAUGGUGCAGCAAAAGAUGGUAUUUAUAGGCUGAAAUUCGUAGCCCCUAUGUAGCAAAGGAAAAGGAUUUAAAGGCCUAAUUUGUAUAGGAUAAUAACACACAAUCCUUGAAGGAAAAGGCUAAGGCUUUUAGAGACCAAGGGGGAAAGGAAUAAUCAGGUUUCUAGAAGUUCUAGAAAGGUUUGGGGCGUCACUUUUGUAGGACAAGGGAUAAGGUCUUCUAGAAAGGUUGUUUUGUGGCUGAUUUCUAGAAAAACAAGGGAUAAGGUAUGGCACCUUUGUAGGAGUGGAUAAGGGCUUCUAAAAACCAAUUUUAAUGUGUCCUAAUCUAGUUAGAAACCCUCCUAAGUGGCUGAAAUGUGGAUAGUUUAGGAUUAGGAUAAGAUAGGAUAGGAUAAGGUUUGUUUGGAUAAGAUAAGCUAAGAUAAGGUUAUGGAUGAGGUUUUGGAUAAGAUUCCUUCUCUUGAGCUGAUUCUUUGACUUUAACUCUUCUUCUUCACAUAGGAAACCUUGCUUGAGUAGGAAACUUCAUGUGUCUAGGAAUCCAUCUUCAAUUAGGACUCCUACAUUGAUUAGGAAUCCUUCUUUAUUUAGGAAUCCUUCAUUUAAGCCCUUUCCUACUUCAACUAGGAAACUUUGUAUCUUCAAUUCUUCAACUUCAAAACACAUUCCUAGCUUCAUCAAUCCUUCAAAUUCGUCCAUCCCUUGUGCUACAUAUGCAUGAACUCCAUUCUAGCCCAAUUUUGCUCCAAAAUGCUCCAAAUUGCUUCCUUUUGCUCACUUUGUCUCUAAAACCUGAAAACACAUGAAAAUAGCUUAAAAGACUAACUUAACUAAGAAAACACAACAUAAAUGCAUAAGAACUAACUAACUAAGGCACAUAAAUAUGCUCCUAUCACCUUUAACCCGAGGCAUCACAGUUGUCUUGUGGUUAAGUCCUUGAUCUUUGAUUAUGUCAAAGUCACUCCAUUUGGAGGGUGUCCACGGCAUCGUUGGGGUUAAGCCACUUAGCCAUGGAGACAAGUGAAUGUGCAACAAUGGAUCUCUAACCUUCAAACCGUUUGAGGGAGAAUACUCUAUGAUAUGAUUUAGAACCUCUGGCCAGAGUAUGAAUGAGAUUUAGGAAGUCGUUCCAAAUCACAUUCAAGGUAAUCAUAUAAGCACACGAAUCACAUUGGAUAGUAGACAUGAAUAAAUAACUAUCAAACCAAACAAUGUGGUCAAGAGUAUUGCAUUAGAGAAAGACCGUAUUGCAUUUGUAAUCCUAAACUGAAUAGGUUCUCCACCUCUUCUGAUUAGCUUGGGUAACCAUGAUAUGCUGCUAGGUGUCACUCAUGGUUUGUGGAAGCCCUAAACGUGUAUAAUCACUAAAGGGAGAAUUGAAAGUAAGUUUCAAUUCAUAAUCGAUUUGAAAGAGUUCUAAUCGCCCACUGCCUCGCUAAAAGGAACCUAAUGGAUCGUACACCGUGUAAGGUGGAGAUUGAAGAAACAAUGGAGAUGAGUAAGAAUAAUUAAAUGGUUUAAUUAUUUAUGGCAAGGAUUAAUUAUUAUGUUAAUUAAUCAAACGAAUAAAGUUCGUUAAAAGACCACGGGUUAGUUUUGGGCCUCAAGGCCCAAUGGGCUUCGAACGUCAAGCCCAUUGACUUAAGUUGUAUGACAACUUAAUUCACAAAGGCCCAAAAGCCCAAUAAAACCCUUAUGGCCGGCCAUGUUAGAGAGAAUGGCCUUUUGGUUCUUUAGGUCACUUAUUUGAAGUGACUAUAUAAAGGACUUUAUAGCCUAAAUUCAUUAAAGGUUUCUUUUGGAGAAAAUAGGUGAGAACUUGUCUCUCCAUUUCUCUCUAAAGAGGCCGGCCCCCUUGGAGGGUGUAUCUAGCAAUUCCACUACUCCAAGGUCACUCAUUUUCUUCUCCAAUCUAACCUUGGUGUGGAUACUUAGAGGUUCUCAAUUUUGGGAACUUGGAGAAACCUUUUCAUCCAUCCAAAUCCAUGGAUCUAAGAAGCAAGGAAUGAAGGCCCUCUCUUUGGGUGAUUAGCCUUUGCUUAUGCAAAGAGGAAUCUACAAAGGUAUAUAUUUCUCAACUCACUUUGAUUUGAGUAGAGUCUUGGUUCACCAAUCUACUAGGCUUUGAAUUUCAUGGGUAAUGUUUUGUUUUUGAAUGCAUGAAAGCAUGAUUCCGCCUUUUAAUUGUUAAAUGCAUGCUAUAGAUGUUAUUCAAAUGAACAUGUUUUCACAAAAUAAUCCUUCAACAUAUAUACAUAAAUAUAUACAUAUAUACAUACAUAUAUACAUAUAUACAUACAUAUAUACAUAAAUAUAUACAUAAAUACAUACAUAUAUACAUAUAUACAUAUAUACAUAUAUAUACAUAUAUAUACAUAUAUAUAUAUAUAUAUAAAUCAUGCUUCACAUAUUCAUAAUCAUAAGUAUGCCAUGCCAAAUAUAAAACAGAAUAGGUAACUCAAGUAAAAAUAGAUUCAUGGAAAAUAAUAUAUAUUAGCCGGAGCCCCUGUAGAAGUUUGCACGGCUGAAUUCACAACUCAUUAGUCAAUCUAGCCGGAGUCACUGCAUAUGACCUAUACGACACUACACUGCACACGAGUCGGAACCACUGUAAUGGUCUGUAUGACAAAACUGGGUGUAAUGUAGUUAUGCUCAGUGCUACACUCUCAUGAUAGCUAUGCGAUAAAUCGCUAGUCACCUACGAGUAGGAACCACCUAUAAGGGUCUGUACGACAAGGCUAUGCUCCUAAUUUGGAUCCAAUGUGAGCAUAUAGUGCAGGAUGUGACAUUAUAAACAGGCAUGUGCCAUAUCUCUAGCUAAAUCACUAACACCGGGGUGCAGGUUUAUGAGCUCAAUAUUUCUCAAUUAAUCACAACUGUUAUUCACAUUUACAAUUCAUAAACUCACCUGGGCUUACCUGAGCAUCCACAGCACCACAAUUAUAUAUUAUGCAUCAUAUACUAAUUCAUAUACUAAACAUAAAUUUAUAUGCAUGGCAUUUCAAGGCAUACUUUCAUUUAAAUGCAUUUUCUGGGAAAAUAUCAAUGGUAUGUCGAAGGGUUGUAGCCCCUGAGUCGCCCUUGACUGCGCUCGUCCUCGGGAUAAGUCUCCCCUAUAUGCGAAACAACUAUAAAAAUGUUAAUUUAAAGCACAUAACCAACAUUAGCUAAUAACUUCUCAUACAUUGCUCAAUUGAGGUAUAUGAAUAUACCAUCGUGACCUACACAACCCCACGAACAUCCCUAUAUUUUAAAAAUAAUUUUUGGAGCCUUCAUGCGCCGGCAAGGGCACGGACCUAUGCGCAGCCACGUGUAGGGACCCUAACGGAAUCCCUUAACCCUAUUAAGCAUAUUUCGUGGAAUAUUUCGUUAAAUAGUAACGGAAUCCGUUAAACUAACCAACGCUGUUAGGAAUAUUCCAUCAAAGUUGACAGAAUAUUCUAUCAUCCCCUACCUUCGAACUCCGGCGACCGUGGCCAUCACCGGAAACUGGGAAAAUCUUAGAAUCCUUAUAUCUCUGCCGUUUCUUAUCCAAAAGUUGAUGGAAACAGAAGAAAAUCGCGAGGGAAGAGAGAAAAGUGCACUGGAAGGAGAGAGAGAGGGAGUUGGAGUGUGUGUGUGGUCCAAAAUUGUCCAUUCCAACCAACCAAAAUAACAAAACAACUUAAUUCCAAUUAGUUCCACAUAAUUAGGAAAAUAACUUGGACCUAAACCUAAGUCACGUACGCACACUACUACCCACGUUUAAGGGUAAAACCGUCCCUUCACACCAUCGAUAAAAUUAUCCCAGGACGGGCUGUGACAAUGUACCCAUCUUAUAAAAUUUCAUCCUCGAAAUUUAUACAAUCAUACAAUCCACUAAUAAUCAUAAAUUAGGCGUGGAUACAUCUCUCUCAUCCGGUCCUCUGUUUCCCAAGUAGCUUCUUCCACUGAAUGAUUUCUCCACAAAAUCUUCACCAAACGCACAGCUUUAUUUCUCAGAACCUUGUCUUUCCAAUCCAAGAUAGUCACUGGUUCCUCAUCAUAAGUCAAAUCUAGAUUAAUUUCUAGAGGUUGAGGAGGAAUCACUUAUGAAGGAUCUGCAACAUAAUGACGAAGCAUCGAAACAUGAAACACAUCAUGCACUUUGGACAACUCUGGAGGCAACUCAAGCCUGUAAGCAACCUCACUGACUCGCUUGGUGAUCAUAUAUGGUCCAAUGUACCUAGGACUCAGCUUGCCUUUCUUUCCAAACCGCACAACACCUUUCCAUGGUGAUAGCUUCAGAAAUACCCAAUCACUUACACUAUAGCUCCGGUCAGUGGCAUGCUUGUCUGCUAAGCUCUUUUGUCGAUCCUAGGCCGCUUUCAGGUUAGACUUAAUUACCUGAAUAUUCUGGGUAGUUUCAUCCACAAUCUUCGGGCCCACUAAAACUCUUUCACCCAAUUCUGACCAACAUAAUGGCAUUCGACAAGACUUGCCAUAGAGUGCCUUAAAAGAUGCCAUACCAAUACUCGAAUGGUAACUGUUGUUAUAGGCAAACUUCAUCAAAUCCAAAUAAUCAUGCCAACCAUAGCCAAACUGUAGUACUGAAGAUCUUAACAUAUUCUCUAACGUUUGAAUGGUUCUCUCAGACUGCCCAUCAGUCUGAGGAUGAUAUGUUGUACUAUAAAGUAAUCUCAUACCAAGAGCUUCCUGGAAUGCUACCAAGAACUUAGAAGUAAAUCUAGGAUGCCGAUCCGAGAUAAUAUCAACUGGAACACCAUGUUACUUCACAAUCUUCGAUAUGAAUAACUUAGCUAAUUGACUUAAUGGAUAUUUUUCCCUCAUUGGAAUAAAGUGUGCUGACUUAGUAAGCUGAUCAACUAUCACCCAAAUACCAUCAUAACCAUUAUGUGUACGAGGAAGCUUGUAUACAAAAUCCAUGGUAAUAUUUUCCCAUUUCCACUAUGGAACGGGAAGUGGCUGCAUCAACUCAAACGGUUUCUUCCUUUCAGCUUUAACUUGUUGGCAAAUGGAAUACCUACUCACACAUUCGACAAUUUCCCUUUUCAUACCCGGCCAAUAAUAAAAUGGUCGAAUGGUAUGAUACAUCUUGGUACCUCCUAGAUGCAUUACAUAUGGCGAAAUAUGUGCUUCAUCAAGGAUUUCUUUCUUUAACUCUACAUUAUUCAGCACAUACAUUUUGCUCUCUUGCAUAAGCAUGCCAUCAGUUUCUCGAAUUUUGAAAUCUUUCUUCUUCCCCUGAUUCCUUGCUGGAAUUAUUUCCUGGGUCUCUUCAUCAUUCAUCUGGGCCUCGAGCACAUGAUCAAUUAAGAUUGGCCUAACUUGAAAAUUAGCAAGUAAGGCUUCCUCUCGAUCUUCCACUCCUAACUCCACUCCAGUGGACCUCAAAUCAGCAAGAAGAGGAACAUGACAAUCAUAGAUGGCAUUAAGUCUAGCUGGAGUCUUCCUACUAAAUGCAUCUGCCAUUGCAUUUGCACGACCAGGGUGAUACUCAAUCGUGCAAUCAUAAUCACUAAGCAACUCAAUCCAUCUUCGUUGUCGAAGAUUAAGAUCUCUCUGAGUAAAAAGGUAUUGAAGACUCUUAUGAUCCGUGAAGAUCUUACAUUUCUCACCAUAAAGAUAAUGUCUCCAAAUCUUCAAAGCAAAGAUAAUAGCCGCUAACUCCAAAUCAUGAAUAGGGUAAUUCUUCUCAUGAGGUUUCAACUGUCUCAAAGCAUAAGCAAUCACCCUACCAUGUUGCAUCAAUACAUAACCCAAACCAUUCAAAGAAGCAUCACGGUAGACGUCGAAAUUACCACUAUCAUCCGGGAGUGCUAAAACAGGUGCAUGAGUAAGAUAAUACUUCAACUUCCGAAAACUUUGCUCACAAUUAUCAUCCCACUCGAACUUAACUUCUUUUUUGGUCAACCUCGUCAAUGGUAAAGCAAUCAUUGAAAAAUCCUUAACAAACCGUUUAUAAUAGCCUGCAAGGCCAAGAAAACUCCGUACCUCAGUGACGAUUCGAGGUUGUUCCCAAUUCUCCACAGCUACCACUUUUUGAGAAUCCACUUGAAUACCUUGAGCUGAUAUAACAUGUCCCAAAAACGCCACUUGAUCUAACCAGAAUUGGCAUUUGCUAAACUUAGCAUAUAACUGGUGUUCCCUCAAACUUUUCAACACCAAUUUAAGAUGUCUAGCAUGCUCUACUCUAGACUUAGAGUAUACUAGAAUAUCAUCAAUGAAGACAAUGAUGAACCUGUCCAAAUAUGGCUGGAAUACUCGAUUCAUUAAAUCCAUGAAAGCUGCUGGUGCAUUAAUUAACCCAAAUGACAUCACAAGAAACUCAUAAUGACCAUAUCGAGUCAUGAAUGCUGUCUUAGGGACAUCUUCACUUCUAAUCUUCAACUGGUAAUAACCAGACCUCAAGUCAAUUUUAGAAAACACACAGGCACCUCGGAGUUGAUCAAACAAAUCAUCUAUACGAGGUAACGGAUAACGGUUCUUAAUUGUUACCCGAUUCAAUUGCCUGUAAUCAAUGCACAGCCUCAAGGUUCCAUCUUUCUUUCUCACAAAUAAGACUGGAGCUCCCCAUGGUGAAGUACUAGGUUGAAUAAAACCUUUAUCCACUAAUUCUUGCAACUGAACUUUCAAUUCCCUUAAUUCAGCAGGAGUCAUUCUAUAAGGAGUCAAAGAAAUAGGAUUCGUACCUAGAAGCAGAUCAAUAAUGAACUCCAUAUCUCUAUCUGGCGGCAAUCCAGACAAAUCAUCAGGGUAUACAUCUGGAAUUUUCCUGACCACACGUACAUCCUCCACACUACUAGGAGUAUUAUCAUUCAAUACCAUAUGAGCCAAAUAUCCCUGACAACCUUUCAACAACAAUCUUUUGGCUUUCAUGGCAGAAAUAACACCAUGCCUCACUCCGCUAGGCUCUCCUACAAAUGUAACUUCAAGUAAUCCAGGAUGAUGAAAGGUGACUGCCUUCCCAUAACAAUCUAUCUUGGCACGAUUAUAAUGUAACCAAUCAGUGCCCAAAAUCACAUCAAAAUUAACAAUGUCUAACGGAAUAAGGUUAGCUAGCAUAACCACAUCAUCCACCAUCACUGGACAUCCUGGAUAUACCCGAUCAACAUAACAUCUCUCCCCUUUAGGCAUAGAAAACUCUAAAUCAUAUCCUAGAGGUGUAGGAUGAGGUUGUGUCACUUGAGCAAAUGUAUGAGAAACAACAGAAUGCGUAGCACCACAAUCAAUCAAUACUCUAGCAAAAUGACCAAGAAUAUUUAACGUACCCAUGAUUAAAUUAGGAUUGUUCUGAGCAUCUUGCAGUUUCAUGUUAUAGAUACGUCCCUGAUUCUGCUGUUGUCCACCAUGACCUCUGCUAGCAUGAAUACCUCGUCCUUGUCUUGGUUGACCAGACUGCCUCGAAGAUACUGCACUGCUAGCAGCAAUCUCUACCUGUUGGGGCUGUCCCUCCUGGUACCACUGGGAUCCACUCGCUGAAUAUGGUUGAUAUGGCAUAGAACCUCCCUGAUACUGAGGGUAACCGCCUUGAUAAUGAAGACCCUGUGAGUGUUGAUACUGUCUUGUAGCAUAAGGAGUGGCAUCGUCUUGAUAAUGAUAAGCACCACCACGACCAGUCUCAGCAUAACCAUUAGGUCUUAAAGCUUAUUGGGUUGGCGCAGGUGGUGGAAAGGAAGGUUGUUGGGGCCUCUGUUGAUUCUGAGGGCAAUGUACAACCUUAUGCCCCAUCUGUCCACAAGUAUAGCAUGCACUGCUGCCUCUCCUACACUCUCCCAAAUGCCUAUUAUUACACCUGCGGCAUAAAGGAGCACUUGAACCACCUGAACCACCAAAGUCCCUCUACCUCUGAAAUCUCGAGCCUCCAUCAAAUCUACCACCUCUCCUCUACACAUUAGAGCUUAAACCUCCACUAGAAGAGCUGGAACUGACACCAGUUCUCUUAAAAUUCUAGGUCUUACGAGGUCCCUGAGAUGAUUGACCUUUGCCUCUAUCAUCUCGCCUCUGGUUCCCGUUCUUUUCUUCUUCAUCUUCACUCUCAUUGGGCAUGUUCUCUGAGUCCUCAAUCCGCAGUAAAACCUCAUAAAACUCUUGGUAAGUGGCACAGGGAGUCGAUGUCGCUAUAGAACACCACUUCUUCUUAGUACCCAACCUGAAACGAUGGAGCAUCUUGACCAGAUUAGCAGCAACCUCCGGAUCGUAUCGAGACAAAUCAGUGAUCCUCUUGUAAUACUCAUUCACUAACAUCUUUCCUUGUUUCAAAUGCGUAAUCUUGCGAUCCAUGUACUCAGGAGGAAUAAACCUUUUCUGAAACAGCUGUUUAAACACUUCCCAAUUGGCUACAACCUUUGGUGGCAUCUAAUAAGACUCAUAUCUCCACUAGGAUGUAGGCUCCGGACCCAAAAACCAGGUAGUCAUCUUGACCCACCUAUCAGGAGGAAGAUUCCCAUGACUCUGCAUCACCAGUAAAAGUCUUCUCGACAUAAUUAAGCCAUUUCUUCGCUCUCUUACGUCCUUCAUUUCCCAUGAAAUGAUUCAGCUUCAGAUUAUACACAGUCUCAAGAGGUGUUCUUUGAGAAGGAUGAAGCAAAGACUGAAUGGCAUUAGCUAUAGCUUCCCUUAAUUAAGCAAUAUCAGGGAAACUAGGCUCAACUGAGUGACGUGGCUCUCUACGAGGCGGCAUAGUUCUAACAGAAGACAUCAUAAUGAUUAGAUCAUUCAAAAGAUAUACAGGACUGUGAAACCUAGGCAUAUGGUGCAGAAUGUGACAUUAUAAACAAGCAUGUGCCAUAUCUCUGGCUAAAUUACUAACACCGCGGUGCAGGUUUAUGAGCUCAAUGUUUCUCAAUUAAUCACAACCGUUAUUCACAUUUACAAUUCAUAAACUCACCUAGGCUUACCUGAGCGUCCACAUCACCACAAUUAUAUAUUAUGCAUCAUAUAGUAAUUCAUAUACUGAACAUAAAUUUAUGUGCAUGGCAUUUCAAGGCAUACUUUCAUUUGAAUGCAUUUUCUGGGAAAAUAUCAAGUAUAUAAGUAUCUACUGAUAACCAAAAGCCCACUCACUGGUAUGUCGAAGGGUUCUAGCCCUCGAGUUUCCCUUGACUGAUCUCGUCCUCGGGAUAAGUCUCCCUAUAUGCAAAACAACUAUAAAAACGUUAAUUUAAAGCACAUAACCAACACUAGCUAAUAACUUCUCAUACAUUACUCAAUUGAGGUAUAUGAAUAUACCAUCGUGACCUACAUAACCCCACGAACAUCCCCAUAUUUUAAAAAUAAUUUUUGGAGCCUUCAUGCGUUGGCAAGGGCACGGCCCUACGUGCUGCCACGUGCAGGGACCUUAACGGAAUCCUUUAACCCCGUUAGGAAUAUUCUGUGGAAUAUUUCAUUAAAUAGUAACGGGAUCUGUUAAACUAACCAACGCCAUUAGGAAUAUUCCGUCAAAGUUCACAGAAUAUUCCAUCAUCCCCUACCUUCGAACUUCGGCAACCGUCGCCGUCGUCGGAAACUGGGAAAAUCUUAGAAUCCUUAUAUCUCCUUCGUUUCUUAACCAAAACUCAUGAAAUUGGUCUCAAUUUAAAGCUUAUAACUAGAAGAACACAUCCUUACAAAUUUCAAGGCUUGAAAUCCAUGAAAACUCGCCGGAGAGAGCUCGAUAAUUCCGGCCAAAUUUCAAACUCUCCAAACUACACUUCCCGACGUCCAAUUUGCUUGGUUUUUCUUCUCCGAGCUUCGUAUGAACGUCCUAAAGCUUCCUAUGAGCUUAAAAUCCCCUGAAACAUCCAUAAUUACGACCACAUGAACAGUACUCAAAUCGAGGGUGAUGGUUUCUCAGGUUUUUUAUGGUUUCACGAUUUAAAAAUGGCAUAUAUGAACUCAAGGACUUGCAAGGAGUUUGAAUCUUACCUUCAUGACGUCGAUUCGUGCGUGAAAUGUGAGUUUGGCGUUCGUCCGUACAAAGUUGUAGGAAACGGAAGAAAAUUGCGAGGGAGGAGAGAGAGAGAGGGAGUUGGAGUGUGUGUGGUCCAAAAUUGUCCACUCCAACCAACCAAAACAACAACAACAACAACAACAACAAAGCCUUUUCCCACUAAGUGGGGUCGGCUAUAUGAAUCCUAGAACGCCAUUGCGCUCGGUUUUGUGUCAUGUCCUCCGUUAGAUCCAAGUACUCAAGUCUUUUCUUAGGGUCUCUUCCAAAGUUUUCCUAGGUCUUCCUCUACCCCUUCGGCCCUGAACCUCUGUCCCGUAGUCACAUUUUCGAACCGGAGCGUCAGUAGGCCUUCUUUGCACAUGUCCAAACCACCGGAACCGAUUUUCUCUCAUAUUUCCUUCAAUUUUGGCUACUCCUACUUUACCUCGGAUAACCUCAUUCCCAAUCUUAUCCUUUCUCGUGUGCCCAUACAUCCCACGAAGCAUCCUCAUCUCUGCUACACCCAUUUUGUGUACGUUGAUGCUUCACUGCCCAACAUUCUGUGCCAUACAACAUCGCUGGCCUUAUUGUCGUCCUAUAAAAUUUUCCCUUGAACUUCAGUGGCCUACGACGGUCACACAACACGCCGGAUGCACUCUUACACUUCAUCCAUCCAGCUUGUAUUCUAUGGUUGAGAUCUCCAUCUAAUUCUCCGUUCUCUUGCAAGAUAGAUCCUAGGUAGCGAAAACGGUCACUUUUUGUGAUCUUCACUAGAUUGCUCCGGUCAUUAGUGUGGAUAAGUAUAUAAAUGGAUAGAGAUAGGAAAGCAAACACAAGAUGUACGUGGUUCACCCAGAUUGGCUACGUCCACGGAAUAGAGGAGUUCUCAUUAAUUGUGAAGGGUUUACACAAAAGCAAACACAAGAUGUACGUGGUUCACCCAGAUUGGCUACGUCCACGGAAUAGAGGAGUUCUCAUUAAUUGUGAAGGGUUUACACAAGUACAUAGGUUCAAGCUCUCCUUUAGUGAGUACAAGUGAAUGAUUUAGUACAAAUGACAUUAGGAAAUAUUGUGGGAGAAUGAUCUCGUAAGCCACGAAACUUCUAAGUACCGGAGUGUGGUAUCGUCUUGACUUGCCUUAUCUGUCUCAUAGGUAGAUGUGGCAUCUUCUCUGGAAGUACUCUUCCUCCAUCCAGGGGUGGUAUCUGUAACUGGUGGAGAUGCACAAGGUAAUGUAUCAAUUUCACUUGAAGCUUACUUGUAGUUUCAUGCUUGGUCAAGCGCGAUACAAACCAUGUAGUAGGAGUCCCCCAAGUCGCCGAGCUAGGGGAUCUGCUGAAAGAGGUGACAGACAAGGUAAGCAAUCAGAGCUCCGGCUGAUUGUUCACAUUCUUCCUAUCUUGCAGGCAGCAUGAAGGAUAAAGAGAAGAAAAAUGAGGAGAGAUGAUAUGGGAUACUUUUGCUUUUGAAUAAGUAACUUUCCACAGGCUUAUUCUUGAAUUGGGCUGGAGGGUUUUCUGGUUUCCUCCAGAGUAUAAGGUCGACUGAAGAAUUUGAGGGUCAAAACAAGUCCAUCAAAUCUAGAGUACGUUCGACCCUGCUGAUAUGGGAUACUUUUGCUUUUGACAGAGUAGUGGAUGUAUCGGCACGUGUGCUGUUACGCUUGUCUCCACAUGCUUCCUUGUAACCUUCUCACUUGCCCUAUUUGUUCCUCAGGCAGAUGCGGCAUCUUCCCUGGAAGCAUAAGAUGUUAAAGAUGAGUACUCGAGAGCAAUGCCAGGUAAGUAAUCAGGUAAGGGGUUCCAGGCAGUCAGUUCCUGGCUGGAAGCUUGAUUCCAAGUGCUGACUGAUUGCUCUUUUUCUCCUUGUCUUGCAGGUAAGAACAAGGCCAAAGGAAAAGACAGGGAAAAAGCAUGAUAUGGGAUACUCUUGCUUUUAACCCUGAUGAUAUGAGAUAUUCUUGCUCUAGUAUAGCUUGUUUACAGAGGUAUUAUCGGGGGGAAAGAAAGCUGAAUAUUUCGAAAGGCUUCGUUGGGAGUGCCCUCUCAGAUAAGAGAAAGGGUUGAGCAUUUUUGCAGGUCUGCCUGUCCGUUAGGGAUGCAGGUCGACAUAUAUAGGAGUCUCCCUAACAUCAAGUAAUAAUGCUAUUCCUUUACCCUGCUUGGUUAUAGCACGGUAGUGGGAGCUGCCAGCUUCACAUGUUUUAACUCUGUCAGAGCACUUUGAAAAAGUGGUCUGUGGUAUCUGGAAAGCUGAUGUUGCGUGUGAAGAUUACAGACAAGCUUUAUCCAAGGAGAUCCAGCUCUUGAAGUUGGGAAAGUGGUGCCUCUUCGAUUUUCGAACAAGCAAUCCUGUCGGGGAUUUGGCUCUCGAGAUUCGGAGAACGAUGCCUCUUCAAUUUUUGAGAAAGCAAUCCUGCUGGGGGUCUGGCUCUCGAGAUUCGGAGAGCGGUGUCUCUUCGAUUUUUGAGAAAGUAAUCAUGUUGGGAGUCUGGCUCUCGAGAUUCGGAGGGCGGUGCCUCUUCGAUUUUGGAGCAAGCAAUCUUGUUGGGAGUGUUUUCUCGAAUGUGAGUAAAGGUUGGACGUGUUUGCUAGUCUACCUUGCCACGAAGCACAGAGGUUGACACACAGGGACUUUCCAAUUAUCCAGCAGUGGUACUGUUCCUUGACCCUCUCUUCGAUUUUUGAGAAAGUAAUCAUGUUGGGAGUCUGGCUCUCGAGAUUCGGAGGGCGGUGCCUCUUCGAUUUUGGAGCAAGCAAUCUUGUUGGGAGUGUUUUCUCGAAUGUGAGUAAAGGUUGGGCAUGUUUGCUAGUCUACCUUGCCACGAAGCACAAAGGUUGACACACAGGGACUUUCCAAUUAUCCAGCAGUGGUACUGUUCCUUUACCCUCUCUUCGAUUUUUGAGAAAGUAAUCAUGUUGGGAGUCUGGCUCUCGAGAUUCGGAGGGCGGUGCCUCUUCGAUUUUGGAGCAAGCAAUCUUGUUGGGAGUGUUUUCUCGAAUGUGAGUACAGGUUGGGCAUGUUUGCUAGUCUACCUUGCCACGAAGCACAGAGGUUGACACACACCGGGACUUUCCAAUUAUCCAGCAGUGGUACUGUUCCUUUACCCUUAUGGGUAAUAAUAUGGUAGCUAGACCUUCAAAAUUUAUGUGUUUAAACUUUGUUAGUGUUGUUUCUUUGCAAUUCUUUUACCCUUCUUGGUCAGAGCGAUGUAGUGGGAGCUGCAAGCUUCACGUGUCUCAACUUUGUCAGAGAACUUUGGCAAAGUUAUCUGUGGUACCCAUGAGCUACUGUUGCGUGUGGGAAGUGGGUGAUUGAACAGUACGAUUCAUGUGCUUUCUACUUCGUCAGAAAUCUUCGACAGAAUGCCUAUAAUUUCCGCAACGCUGAGUGUGCGUGUGACAGGUGCUGACAAGGCUGGAAAAGUAGGUGCCUCUUCGAUUUCUGAGAUCGGCCCUCAUGGUCUCUGAGCAUCCCAGCUUUUGAGAAAGCAAGCCUCUUCGAUUUCUGAGAUCGGCCUUCGUGGUCUUUGAGCAGCCCAGCUUUUGAGAAAGCAAACGCCUCUUCGAUUUCUGAGAUCGACCCUCGUGGUCUCUGAGCAGCCCAGCUUUUGAGAAAGCAAACGCCUCUUCGAUUUCUGAGCAGGCGCCUCUUCGAUUUCUGAAGCUUCGUCGAGUGCAGAUUUUUAUAGGGGCUGACAUUAAGUUCCAAAGCACACUUGAAUAUCCACUAGUAGAAGCUCCAUUCUUGCACUUCUAAGAUCUUGAUUUGUCCGACCUCUUCUCUCUUCAACACCUUUGAAAAUGUCUGGACCCUCCGACCGUCGUUUUGACUUGAACCUUGUUGAAGAGGCAGCCCCGCCUUCUCCAGACAACAUAUGGCGCCCAUCCUUCGUCUCCCCUACUGGUCCUCUUACCGUUGGGGAUUCCGUGAUGAAGAAUGAUAUGACCGCUGCGGUAGUGGCCAGGAACCUUCUCACUCCCAAAGAUAACAGACUAUUUUCCAAACUGUUUGAUGAGUUGGCUGUUAAGGAUUCUCUGGCUCUCAGUGUUCAGUGUGCAGGUUCUGUGUCUAAUAUGGCCCAACGCCUAUUUGCUCGAACCCGCCAAGUUGAAUCAUUGGCGGCUGAAGUGAAGUGAUGAGUCUCAAACAGGAGAUUAGAGGGCUCAAGCAUGAGAAUAAAACAGUUGCACCGGCUCGCACAUGACUAUGCUACAAACAUGAAGAGGAAGCUUGACCAGAUGAAGGAAUCUGAUGGUCAGGUUUUACUUGAUCAUCAGAGAUUUGUGGGUUUGUUCCAAAGGCAUUUAUUGCCUUCCUUCGUCUCUCUGGGGCUGUACCGCGUAAUGAAGCUCCAAAUGAUCAACCUCUGAUGCCUCCUCCUUCUAGGGUUUUGUCCAGUACUGAGGCUCCGAAUGAUCCUCCUCCGGUGCCUUCUCUUUCUGGGGCUCUACCGCCUGCUGAGACUUCUCCUAAGCAACCUUUGUGAAGGCUCCCUCUUGUUUGUUUAUUUUGACUCAAGUAUAUGUACAUAUUUGUAACUUAUCGGGGAUAUCAGUAAAUAAGCUUUCCUUCAUUUCAACGUAUUGUGUUAAAUACAUCAAAGCCUUCUUCGCUAAGUUCUUUGAAUUUUCUUUUGUUGAAGCUUGUAUGUUGAAGCUUUGUGAGUGGAGCAUAUAGGUUGAGGUAGUGUUCCCUUAAUUUCCCGAGUGAGGAAAACUUCUUGGUUGGAGACUUGGAAAAUCCAAGUCACUGAGUGGGAUCGGCUAUAUGAAUCUUAGAACGCCAUUGUGUUCUGUCCAUGUCCUCCGUUAGAUCCAAGUACUCUAAGUCUUUUCUUAGGGUCUCUUCCAAAGUUUUCCUAGGUCUUCCUCUGCCCCUUCGGCCCUGAACCUCUGUCCCAUAGUCGCAUCUUCUAAUCGGAGCGUCAGUAGGCCUUCUUUGCACAUGUUCAAACCACAUACUUAGGAAAAUAACUUGGACCUAAACCUAAGUCACGUACGCACACUACUACCCACGUUUAAGGGUAAAAUCGUCCUUCACACCAUUGAUAAAAUAUCCUAGGACGGGCUGUGACAUUUUAUCCAUUUAUUCAAUCAAAAUGUUUGAAUUCUUUUAUUGUAACAGUUUCUAAUAGUAUUAUAAUGAGGGAUUUUAAAUUUAUAGGAUUAUAAAUCUCAUAAAAUAUCAAAUAAUUAAUGUCAAAACUAUAAAAAUAUAAAUAUUAAUAGUAAUAUAAUGAGGUGAACAAAGUCAAGGAACCUUGAUCAAACUUUAAAUACCAUUAAGGUUUUAAUCAAAGAAUGUUAAGGAUUAGGGACGGCAUCCAAAAUAUUCGUUAUUUAUUAGUUGUUUGGCAACGCGGCUCUAGUUGGACAACAACGUCAGCAUAAAUGUGAAAUUUAUUGUUACCACGUCAUCACUUAACUGCCAAUUUAACAGAUUUUCUAAUGGUUGUAUGAAAUUGAAAUGAAAUAAUAACAAGUGUCUGAGAUUGAAUUUUUUAAAGAUGAUUUAUGAGAUUGAAAUUAUACUCAAACGUGAAGGAUAAUUUUUUUUUUUUCGCUCCCAAAAAAAAUGUUUACACAAGACUUUGUAAUUCAGUUAGUUUAGCACAUUCAAUAAAACUCAAUUUCUCACACAUAUUAAGUAAUCAGAUUACUAGAACGGGUCGGCUGUAGUGGUAAAAAAUGAAGAAUGAAUCAAGAUACUUCUGCGAUUGAAUCAAAAGAAGAAUAAAUAAAUCUCCGUAACCAAUAAGCAUUAGAAACGCUUCAGGAAACAUGCGGGGUGGUGGCGCAGUUGGCUAGCGCGUAGGUCUCAUAGCUUCUGAGUCAUCCUGAGGUCGAGAGUUCGAGCCUCUCUCACCCCAUUUUUCUUUUUUCCUUAAACUAAUUACAUGACUACUUGUAAUAGCCAGAACCGAUUACCUGUUUUUGCUGGUGUUAAACAAAGUUUCUCAGUCCCUAAACUUCUAAUUAAGAAAAUAAAUUUACAAUUCUAAACUCUACUACGAAAAAAUUUUCAAUGUAAUAUAUUAACUUUAUCAUCCAAUUUUCCCCUACUAAAAGCACAACCAAAUUAAUCAAAAUUAGAAGCAAGAGGGCAUUCAAAUGAAGCCUAGGACCUCACAAGUGUUUAUAUUUCAUGUGGUUAAUUAAAAAAAAAUAUAAAUGUCGCUUAGUACUAUGGUCUAGUAGUAUUAUUCUUUACAUGUAGUAAGUGAGAGGUCUUAGGUUCGAUUCUCGCCAAUGACGAAUUUGAAUCACAUUAUUGUUAGCACAUUGUGAGGCUAAGCCUACCCCCUCUCUCUUAUUGUAGAUAAUAUCGUUUGUUAAAAAAAUUAAAAAAAUAAAGUGAAGCCAACGACCACACAUGGGAUAUGAAGAAAGUAAAGUGUCUAUCCUAAAAUUAAUUGGUAAUAGGAGUGUUCCAACCCUUUAUAAAACCUAUGCAAGAAUCCUUUGUUUUUUUACAUGAGAUUACAUUCUCAACAAGAAAAAUAUGUAAAGUGUCGGAGAAUGUAAAAUUGUCUCACAUUAUAAAACUGAAAAGAAAAAAAAAACAUAUAAUACAUAUAAUUAUAUUUCUACUACCAAUGACCUCAAAGUUUUUUUUUAUAAUAAAGCCUCACACCGAGGUAUGUAGGUGUUGGGACCUUUUGAUUGAGUUGGAUAUUUAUGUUAGGGACCUUUUGAUUGAGUUGGAUAUUUAUGUUAGGGACCUUUUGAUUGAUUUGGAUUUAGGUCUCGGACGAACUUUACGCUCCCAUGGUUCAUUUCCGGCACUAAGUCCCGAAAUACUUCAAAAGAAUUAGCACGUCUUGGGACGCAUUCCAAAUGAAUCAAUGACUCUGAUUUAACCAUGAUUGAAUAAUUACAUAAAUUGUAACUUAAUUGGAUGAAGCGUGGCAUGAAAGCUAAAAGUUCAUUGGUUUAGCAUGAGAAAGAUGUUGUGCUUGGUUGUGUUUGUACCAUACUUGACCAAUCCUGAAACUACUGGGCACCGGUCAACGUUAUACCGUCAAGGACCCAGAAGAGUUUCCCUCCAACCAGGAGGCCAAUCACAAAGCGACACGUGUCGAUAUCAGAAGCCAAUCAUAGCACGACACGUGUCAACAUUAGAAGCCAAUCACAACACGACACGUGUCAAUGUCAGAAUGAAACUAGAAACUAUCUUCUAUAAAUAGAGAUCAUUCUCUCACAAUAUUUCCUAAUGUCAUUUGUACUAAAUCAUUCACUUGUACUCACUAAAGGAGAGCUUGAACCUAUGUACUUGUGUAAACCCUUCACAAUUAAUGAGAAAUCCUCUACUCCGUGGACGUAGCCAAUCUGGGUGAACCACGUACAUCUUGUGUUUGCUUCCCUAUCUUUAUCCAUUUACAUACUGAUCCAUACUAGUGACCGGAGCAAUCUAGCGAAGGUCACAAACUUAACACUUUCUGUUGUACCAAAGUCCUCACUGAUUUUGUGCAUCAACAUUUGGCGCCGUCUGUGGGAACAACACUUAUUCCCAUUCUAUAAGGAAGCCACAGCACACAGAAUGACACCCCUCUUGCACCUAGUGUUGGAAAUAUGCCCUGAAAGUCAAUCUUUGGAAGAAACCUUUUAGGACAAUGAAUGGGUGUAUAGAUGACUCUUAUACAUCAAAAGGCAAAGAUACUAAUUAGGACUAUCUCAAUAAAUGAUAUAAGUCCUAAAUAGUGAAUCCAUGGACAAUGGAUCAAUGGAAGAAGUAAUCUAAUGAUGUUAGACUACAGAGACCUUCUUCACAUAACCAUCAUGUCCAAAAAGGUUCCUGGUUAUAUGAUUGUCAGAGGGAUACUGACAAUGCAAAGACCAGUACAUACUAUGUCCCCUUCAAUUGGAAGGAUGGAAAGUCUCGUCCCAUUUGUGUAGUGACACUAAGACAGGUAUGUAGGUGCUCAUUAAGGGAAUGAGUUCACUGAACACAAUCGAACGAGAGUACUUGCAUGGAGGUCUACUCACAUGUCAAGCAAGUAACUCUAAUGGUUGGAAUAAUGUAAGUAGUCCUUUGACCUGAGGCAUCAUAGUUGUCUUGUGGUUAGGUACUUGAUCUUUGAUUAUGUCAAAGUCACUCCAUCCGCGAGUGUCCACGGCAUAGUCGGGGUUAAGCCACUUAGUCAUGGAGGCAAGUGAAUGCGCAACAAGGGAUCUCUAAUCCUCGUUAAGAGAGGAUGAAUACUCUAAGAUAUGAUUCGGGAAUCUUCGGCUGAAGUAUCGAGCGUAAUAAAGGAAAGCGUUCCUAUACGACUCAAAUGAAUCAUAUAAGAAGGAAUAAUCACAUUAAGGGUUUGACAUAAAAUAUCCAUACCCUAGUAAUGUGAUUGAGAGUAUUGUUUUAGAGAAUGAUCGAAUUACAUUGUAAUUCCAACUGAAUAGGUUCUCCGAACAAAUUCUUCAUUAGCUUGGGUAGCCAUGAUAUAUGGUUAGAUGUCACUCAUGGCUUGUGAGUUCUUCGAGAUGAUUAAAUGUAGUCGUCAAAGAAGAAGGUAAAUUAAAAGUAAGUUUUAAUUCACUAAGUGAUUGGAUUAAAAAUAAUCAAUUGGAUUGGUGCCAAUCACCUCACUGCCUUGCUAAUUAGAACCUAAAACGAUU